UUCCUGCAUUUACCUAAGCUGAUCUGCUCUCCAUGCUUAGCCUGCUCACGGCUAUCGCCUUCUCGAUCACCGCCCGCCACAGGUCCAUUCACCCUAUGCAAUUCUCUUCCACGUUAAAAGGGGGGCUCCUGAGCAUCACGACUCAAGAGCUCUUACUGGCUCUCCAGCUGUCACCCCCUGGCAUACCAGCGACGAUUGAGCUCGCUCGAGGGCCGGGACCUGAGGAUGUAGAGUGCUUGCUUCUAACCGCCUUGCAGGGACAUACAGUCACCAAGACUCAAGACCAGGCGCAACUCGCCUUGAGGUAGGGCCUUGUGAGUCCCGCGCUAGCUCCCGGGUGCCCAGAUACACCUCACAGCCCUGCCAUGCAAGCCACAUAUCAGGGCGGGGUUGUACACGCCCCGGGGCUCCUCCCGGAGGGGGGCCCAUCCCAUGCUGCCACGCCCAAGUGGAAGCUCCAUGCUCCAUGCUGGCUGUCGACACUGCCGAGGAGCGGCUAUGCCCGUGCACAAGCGGAAGCACUAUGCUCCGUGCUGGUGAUAAACAACUGAGGGCGACCCCACGGUCGUACCAACCUCAGGGAGCCCAGAGCUCAGCGCAUAGCCUCACCAUGAUGCCUCCCCUCGGGAGAGUCACGCGAGGGGGCUGGGCAUGGGGGCUGCACUCGGGUCACGCCCAAGUGCACGCCACCCAACCAGGUCCCCCGGACCUAGGCGUCGCGCGCCACUCCCGAGGCCUCAGUGAGGGCAGGUAUGGAAAUUGUUUCAAUGUCAAGGGGGACUCCUGAGCAUCUCGACUCAGGAGCCUAACUGGUCACGUAGCCCCUCACUACUUGGUCUGUCCUGGUCUCCGGUCGGCCCAAUGGCGGUUGAGUUAUGCGCGGGGCCGGGCUCUGCCAACGUAGAACAUUAAUCUAUCCUCACGAACUCUCCAUAUAUGUUGUUCGUGCGUCAAGGGGGACUCCUGAGCAUCGCGACUCAGGAGCCUAACUGGUCACGUAACCCCUCACUCCUUGGACCGUCCUGGUCUCCAGUCGGCCCAAUGGCGGUUGAGGUAUGUGCGGGGCCGGGCUUUGCCGACGCAGAACAAAGCAAAUAGGAAGGAAAAUGCAAAAUCUCAAAGCAAAUAUUACAAGCAUAUUGUUUUCACAAUGCCAAAUGAAAAGUCUAAAUGCCUCCACGAGGCCUGAUACAUGUUGCAGGAAUGAAAUGGGAAGAAUAGCCUCAGGUCACCUCUAGACGUCGCCUGUGGAAGGCGCUCCCUCGCGAGCAGUUUUGUCUUCACCACCAGCCGCAAGAUCGACGAUGCCGGACAGAGGAGCGGAGACGAAGCCGCGGAACCUCCUCAGCAAGGCCCCCACCUGAUCCUGCAUGGCCGCGGCGGCCGCCUCGUAUUGAUCUUCAGCCACAGGCUCCAGCAGCUCGUCAAGACGAGCAUCGGGGUCGCAGAGGUGCAGAUGGCUGAAGACGUGAGUCAGUGCAGCUGAAGACAGGACGCGGGCUUCUGCCUCCACCAUGGGACCGAGGCCGUCAACGACCUCCUCAAGCGCCUCCACCACGAGAGGAAGUAGCUGGGCGGGCCGCCCUCGUCGGUGUCCAGCGGCUUCUCCAAGCCGUGCUCGUAGAGUGUCUUCAGCGCCGUGUGCGACCUCUUCUCGAGGUCAGCGAAGGCCACGUGGUCUUCAGCCAGGACUCGUGCCUUGGCAUCAAGAUCGGCCUCCCUUGUCCCCAUCUUCCGCUCCAACUCUUCCAACUGGUUGCGCUUGGCGGCCUGCUUCUUCCCUAGCUCUGCCAGCUCAGGAUCACGGUUCUUGACGGCUUCCUCCCGGGCCUUCAUCUCCUUCUCCUCUACUUGGCGGCGGCGUACCUCUUCGGCGUGCUUGUCGCGCAGGCUCUCCAACUCGCCCUCCAGCACUUGGCAUCGGUCACGGGCGGCCUUGGUGUCUUUCAGCGCUGCCUCACGAUCGGCUGCAGCGCCGGCGGCUCCUUGCUUCUCCUUCUCGGAAGCCACAGCAUCAUGGCCCAGCGCUGCGCCAACCGCCAGAUCGGAGUGAAGCCAGCCAGAGGCCAGCUCCAGACACCCGGCCACCAGGCGCGGGUCCGCGCUCCGAACAUCCGCCUGCAUCUAGGUCAUCUCCGAAAGGGCACGCUCCAAGAUGGAAGCCGGAGCAGAAGGACCAGGAAGUGGAGAUGCAGCAGUAGGAGGAAGCGACAUCAUCACCAGGGCUUGGGAGACCACGGGUUCCGGAGCAGCUAGGACCUCAUCAGCUACACUAGAGCCAGUGGGGCCAUGGGGGCUGACUCCACGCGGCGAUGCUCCUCUUGGCCCCAUGAGGACGACCGGGUUGGGGGGAUGCGGGCGCUGCUGCCUCCUUUCCUUGCUGAGGGGGGUACAGUUGCCGUAUCCUCCUUCCUCUUCUUCGCCAAAGAUGUCGGCCUGAUCAACCAGGGGCGAGCAUCAGGAAACAACGGGUCCAAACAAGGGCAACACGAAGCUUAAGACACUUACCGAUCCACUGCGAUGUAUUCCACCGACCGCUUGGGAAGCUUGAAGCCUGACAGCAUGGGGACCUAAGGAGCAGGCGUUCGGGUUCCGGCGGUGCCUGGCAGAGUAGAGACAGAACUGGAGCCCGCCUCGGGAAACGCCAGGACAGGGGAAACAUCGCGGGCCACCAGCGACGACCUACCCUUCGUCGGGAUGAGGGGUGGCUCUCUCUCCCCUUGGAAGGUGUCAGCCUCGGCAUCAUCAGGAAGGGCGCGAAGAAUCUCGGCCUUGCUCGGAGGGGAGGUCUCCCCCACCUCUUCCGGUGUCUCCUCCGAGUCCACCUCCUCUUCCCCCUCUCCGCGGGACUCGCCAGAAGACACCUCCACCGGUUUCUGCGCUGUAGGAGCUCCCGAAAACACCAGCGCCACCAGCUCGCGUGCAUCAAAAGUCAGCCUGGAGGCGACGAAUUCCUCCCGGUCCCUACGUUGGAACAGGGGAAUGAAGGCGCUAGGCGGGUACUCCUGGUUGUCUCCAACUAUGAGACGCAGGACGGCGUCCAGCUCAUCAUCAGGCAGGUCCCCCGGCCUCAGGCGGGCCUUGUUUUCCCCUCCUUCAAGAUCCCAGAAGGGGGGCGCACACGCUUGGAGUGGGGCAACCCGCAGUGUCAAGAACUCCCUCAGGAGCAUCGCUCCCAUUAUUUUGGCCGCCCUCGCAUUGCCCGGCUUCAUGUCAGUCAUCAUCUGCCCCAACACUGACGAUGCCCGCUCGGUGACAAGCUCUGCCCUGGGCCACUCCUAGCCUUGCAGGGGCGCCUCCAUCGGCAAGUCCAGGCGCGGAUGGGCGAGCUUGGCGUCCACCAUGACCCAUUUGGAUCAAAUGUUGUCAGCCCUCUUCCCGAUGCUCGAGAUCGAGUUGGCCUUGCCGGACGCAACGAAGUUGGCGCAUCCAGAGAUGUGACCCUCACUAACGCGGAGGAAGAAGAAAUGGCGCCGGAGCACCACGGACGACAUCACGCCUAGGUACACCUCAUAGUAGUAGGCAAAUAUGGAUAGGAGGAGGACAGAGUUGGGAUGGAGAUGCAACGCUUGCAGCCCAUAGUGGUCGAGGACUUCAUAAAAGAAAUUAGAGAAGGGAGGAACCAACCCGACGGCAACGCUGCUCAAAAAGAAGGGAAAGAAGGUGCUCCCCUCAGGCUCUGGCUCGUCGGAGGCAAGCCGGAGCUCCGUCUUCCCCCACUCGUUGCUCUCUCCCACCGUCAGCAGGCGCACGGAGGCUAGGCUCUUCUCCAUGACAGUGGGCGCCUCAAGAGCGGGCUCAUACCAAGCCGGAGCCAAGGAAGUCAUGACCUUGCGGGGUGCCAUGGGCGGCAGAAGCAGAGCAAGGGUGGAGCAGAUCUGGAGAUAGCGGCGGCGAAGAGAGAGAAAGCAGAUCUAGAGCGAGGCAAGGAAGAAGAAAUGAAGGCAAGUGUCGCCUGCGCCAGCCUUUUGUCAGGUCAAGCAGUUGCCGAGGCAACGUGGGGAAGCGGAGACGCCCACGUCCAAUCAACCGCCACGCGUCAACCGAGGCCGCAGGCUUUUGGGGCCCGCGGCGCUCCGCACUAGGCCCUUGGCUUCGCCGCGAAGCCAAGCCCGAGCGUGCCUUGGGCCCGAGGGCUACUGUCGGCAUUCUGGGAAUGGGGGUCCCCAGACUUGCCUGCCUGCGGCCCACGGCGUGGCCAAGCAGCAGGCCGUACGGCCCGUCUUCGUCAACAAGGCAUCCAAGACCCUCACGAGGGGCAAAGCCUCGCGAGGCGGACGAUGCAAGACCUCCUCCGGAGCGGCCUGGUCAGGCAGGCUCACGAGGAGCGGAGAUAUCAAGGCGGGGCAAACCUCACGAGGCUCUCGUGACAUGAGCCAUGACGAAUGGUGCCAGGCGGGUGCCAGGCGGGCGCCGAUGCGUGCAGCGUCCUCAUUUCCUCUUUGGUGCAAAGGAGGCAAGCGCAGGCGAGGAGCACCGAGGCCCCAGGCAAAGGUUGCCAUUUCGGUGCAACGAGACCAAGACCAGAAGGACGGCAAGACGGAGGUCAUCGUGGAGCCCAAGAUGGCGUCACCACCAGAGCUUUGCGCAGGCGAAGACCGCUUUUGUGAGGAUAGCUUGUACUAGCUGUCCCCCAUCAAAUUAGCCCGCCAUUGUUGGCUCCCUUCCCGCUCAAUAUUUGGGAAGAGGACCAGGGCCUAUAUAAGUAGAGCUAGCCACCAUAGUAGGGAUGAGAGACCUGAGAUCGAACCCUCACGCCACAAGUUCAUACGCACAAGAACACCUCAACUUUGGAGGAUGUUCUUCCCCUAUAAUUAUUCAUCAUCAGCCCAAGAGGCAAUCCACCACCACCACACUGGAGUAGGGUAUUACACCACAACAGUGGCCCGAACCAGUAUAAAUCUCGUGUCUUUAUGUGUUGUGAGUUCGUCGAGUUCGUUCGCAAGAUCUUAGCGAGCUAGGGCGUAGAUUGGUAGGAGGGAAGACUUCGCGCGCACCCUAGUGUUCGAACCAUAAGGGUUUGCUGGAACCCCACAUCCGACAAUAGCGACCUCGUGCGCGCGUGCGGCCGCAUGCUACUGAGCUCCAUGUAAUACUACAUGCGAAACGGCUGUGGGCGGCGCUUAAUUGGAGGAGGGGGACAGUGAUUUCAGUAGAAGGUGUCACGCCGUUGGUCGGGGCAUGUGGGAUGGGAAAGGAGGAGGAUGGUGUGGGUGGGGUGUGGAUUACUUGUCCAUAUCGAUGAGGCCGCACAGCAAGAAGAAGGGUCGGUGGCGACGAGGCCGCGCAGCAAGAACAAGGGUCGGCGGCAAGGAGGCCAUGCAGCAAGAAGAAGGGUCGCCGGCGAGGUGGCGGCGCUGCAAGAAGAAGGGUCGCCGACGGGGAGGCGAUGCUGCAAGAAGAAGGGUAGCCGGUGAGGAGGCAGCGCUGCAAGAAGAAGGAUGGCCGGCGAGGAGUGGCACUCUAAGAAGAAGGGUCAUCGGCGAGGAGGCUGAGCUGCCAGUAAGCAGCAGUGAAAAUUUGAACUUGGAAAGCAAGGAGGAACGGUGGAAAUGUGGCUUUUGGUGGGAGGGAGGAGGCGGGGAGAUAGUUAUUUCUGCGGUGCCAAAAAAAUUUCACUCGGUGCCGCGAGAAACUGGCGCGCAAGUGUGGUUCAAGCGGGAGCGGUGGAUUGUAGACGACGAAGCUUCCUGCGUAAGCCAGACAAGACGGUGUGCCAAGAUAUUUUAUAUCGCAUCCCACAUGAUUCUUUCUAGUAAACUAUUUGUGGCAUACCUGGAUUUUUCAUUAUGUUUUGAAAGACAAAAUGGUGUUACAGAGGGAAAGGACGGUGUUUGAAUUGCUAGAACAUUUACGUACAGUGAACAUGCAACUAGUACAUGAGUGUCGUGUUUAAAUUUGGAAUUAUUCCAGGUUCGUUUGCAUUUUUAUGCAUUAAUUGAGUGUCUGGGCAUUUAAUGUGCAUAAUUCAAAUUUGAACUACAAGCACAUGCUCCAGUGCACCAAAGUUUGUUGAAAAAUCACAUGUGUGUCUUUGGGUGAAUUUACAGGUCACAUGCAAGAAAUGGGAAUGAAAUUCAAACAUCUGGGCGUCGUGACUCGGACGGAAAGAUUGAGAAACUUGGUUUUUUAAUUCCUGUAAAUCCAAAACACGCCUGAAAAUCAUGAAACUUGGCAUGGUGUCAUGACAUGGCACCAACAUGCUGCGGAAAUUUUUUUAGCCGAAUUGGGACAAGCUUUGGUGUAAACUUGUUGCAAACCAGAGCUUCCCUCAAGAAGGCUCAUGGUUCCGAGAGGGUACGUGUCACCUUCAUGUGUGAAACGACAUACGUACAUUGCCUUCUCCCGACUUAAUUUUUUUACACAGGCAGAUUAGACCAAAUAGAAGUAUCAUGCUAAAUUUUGGAAUUAUUCCGUGUUCGUUUGGCCUUUUUAUACAUUAGUUGAGUUUCUGCGCAUUUAAUGUGCAUAAUUCAAAUUUGAACUACAAGCAUGCUCCAGUGCACCAAAGUUGGUUGAAAAAUCACAUGUGUGUCUUUGGGUGAAUUUCUAGGUCCCAUGCAAGAAAUGUGAAUGAAAUUCAAACAUCUGGGCGUCGUGGCUCGGCCGGAAAGAUUGAGAAACUUGGUUUUUAAUUCCUGUAAAUCCAAAACACGCCUGAAAAUCAUAAAACUUGGCAUGGUGUCAUGUAAUGGCACAAACUUUGGUGCAAGCUUCUUGCAAACCGGAGCUUCCCUCAAGAAAACUCGUGGUUCCGAGAGGGAACGUGUCACCUCCGUGUGUGAAACGACAUACGUACACUGCCUUCUCUCGUCUUAAUUUUUUACACGGACAGAUUAGACCAAAUAGAAGUAUCGUGAUAAAUUUUGCAAUUAUUCAGGGUUUGUUUGGCCUUUUUAUACAUUAAUUGAGUUUCUGGGCAUUUAAUGUGCAUAAUUGAAAUUUGAACUACAAGCACAUACUCCAGUGCACCAAAGUUGGUUGAAAAAUCACAUGCGUGUCCUUGGGUGAAUUUCUAGGUCCCAUGCAAGAAAUGGGAAUGAAAUUCAAACAUCUGGGCGUCGUGGCUUGGCCAGAAAGAUUGAGAAACUUGCUUUUUUUUAAUUCCUGUAAAUCCAAAACACGCCUGAAUCAUGAGACUUGGCAUGGUGUCAUGACAUGGCACCAACAUGCUGUGGUAAUUUUUCUAUCCGAUUUGUGAAGGCGCACACAUUAACAAUCAACAAAGUCAUUUUGAAACAAGUGUUUUCACGUUACAAAUCAGAAACACAAGUAUUAUUGAAAUCGUGGGCGUUCUACUUACCAAUUACGUUUCGCCACGCAUCCCCUUUUUUAUUGGCUAGGAGGUGUCGUGCGGGGUAGCUAUUUUAGUACGGGAGGCGUGCAAUCAGACCCCCAUGCGUGCUCAUUGGGAGGAGAGCCAUUUGACCUCUACCCACCGCGCACCUCCACUACUGCAGGAUGCUGCUAAUGCGAUUCUAUGAUCAGAGACCCUUCGAUAAACUGUGCGAUGCAAUAAUCACAAACGGUGUUGCAUGAAAACCAUCAGAAAUGAUGCAAAACGUUUGCGAUGAAUGAUACAUCAAACACGGUUCAAAUUAUAGUUGUAUGUGCUAUGAGGGGCAUACGGUUGAUCUAUGUGAACUGUUUGCGAUGAGACAGGAAAACAGAAACGGGCAGCUAGAUCAAGGUGUGUGCGAUAUACGGCAUACAGUUCACUCCGAUGAACCGUUUGCGAUGACUGAGGUGAACAAAAACGAUUCGGUGUAACAAGAUGUGUGUGAUACCCGGCAAACAGGUCGGUAAUUAGAAUUAUGUGCGAUCAUUAUAGACAGCCCAUACGGUCUUUUUUUGUGAAUUGUGUGCUCGUCGGGGCACACAGUUCAACAAACCAACCUGUUGGCGAUAAUGUAGAAGAUCUCUGUCGAAUACAUAUUACUAACCGUCUACGAUGAGAUUGACAGGAUAAACAGAGAUAUAUACAGUCUGCUUAAUUUAGUCAUUCUUCUUCUUGUUGUUCCUGUUGGAUGGCCCUGCGACAUCGUCUUGGCGAGGACGCUUCUUGCCGCUGACCGUUGGAUUUUCAUCGCCGCUGCCGUCGUCACCGUCAUUGAUGUCAUCGUCCUCCUCCUCCUCGUUCAACCAUUCCUCAUCAUCAUCGUCAUCGUCCUCUAAUGGCUCCUCGUCUGUCUGGUUGUUGUCUGACGACUCCAGAGGUGGCUUCCCUUCCAUGAACCGGAUAUAAUCGAGGUCUGGACUCAAUGCUGGACUCAUGGAAGAUGAGCAGGAUGAUUCCGAUGUUGACCUAUCAUCAGGCACCAGACUGCUGGCCAAACUAUCGUCCUUGCUAUCGCUUGACAUGGCUGCAGAGUGUGUGCCAGUGUGUAGCGCGGCCUGCUGGGGACGAUGAAGAUGGUGGACACUUAAGCGGGGUAUGCAGAGAAGAGGAACUGCCAACUGAAGUAGGGAUUGAAGCAGGGGUUGACGUAUUAUCUAACCGUUGAUAUUAUCAACUGCAAUUAUUUGUACCCAGUCGCUCGAAUUCCCGAGGUUGCGCAGGACUCCUAUUGGCCAUUUGGUUGGUUUCCUUUUUCAGGACAAAAACAAGGAACGAGUUUUGGGAUUAUGCACCAGUACCGAUACGAACGGAGUAGGACGGUUGGCAAGCAAUACAUUGAGAUCUUCUUAUUGAUAAAGCCAGUAAUAAUCAAACUAGAAAGGAAAAGAAAAAAGACAAAGAAAAAUAUCUGCAUGAAUCUUCGUGUAACAUCAAUGGCAUAGGACCUAGAUGUGCAUUACUUACAGCACAUCUAGAUGUGCUUUAGCAAUACUGUCAAACAAAACCCCUAAUCAUCAUUGCAAACAGCGCAUAGAACAUGGCUAAUGCGACAACCACAACUACACAUGCUAGUUCCUUCUUGUCUCUUUCUUUCAUCUGCUGCCUGUGAUUGGUUCUUUCUUGCUUCAUUGUACCGACUGUACAUUCCAGAUCGGCCAGUUUCUUCUUCAGCUUUACGUUAUCUUCUGCGAGCUUGGUGAUAACACUCCGAGCCCUCCCAUUCCAUUCUUCAUCCAACCAGUUAACAAAGGCACAAGCCUCAUAUCCCUGCCAAUGUUAAAUAGUAUUCUGGAUGACCGGUGGCAUUAACUGAAGUAAAAUGAUGAACUUAAUUAGCACUAACCUCUAAGGGGCAACUGAGAAACCGCCUGACAAUGUUGAAUCCCUCCGUGCAUACACGUCGAGCGGGAGUGUGCCCGUGCACACAACUCAGCUUUUGGUACUUCUCGGUGGCGCAAAACUUGGAGUCGAACUCGUGUUGCGGGAGUCUAGAGUCAAGCUCCGGAUCCGGCGGCAGAUCGCUUUCCUUGGGGGUGGGGGGUCAUUCAGGACGGAUUCAACAAGGAUCUAUACUUUGGACAUGCUAAAAAAGAUCGGCAUAUAUUGGAACCUGACAAGACGAUUCGGAUCCGCAGUACACCCGCCUUCUGAUGAACUUAGGCAAGUGCUCGGUAGCGAUACGAGCAGGAGCAGCCGCACCGAAACCAUCAGCACCACUCGUCCGCAUUCCCCCAAUGUCAGCGCCACGCGAGGGAAUUUGGAGGCUAUGUAGGGGUUUGGGGAAAAUGGGGAAACUGUGGAGAUAAGCUAAUGGUCGGGAACUACUAAUGACACUAUAUAUAUGUUGUAUAUGGCACACUGUUUGUACAUGUCGUCUGUGUUGGGUAUUACAACGUCACACACGAUUUCCGCACCAAACCGUGUGAGAAGACAACAUAGGUUAGACACGGUUGCCAUUACAUAACCGUAUGUGAUGUACUACCAUGUCCAUAUAAUUGAGUUAGGGUGAGAUACAAUGUAAACAGUCGCUCUGCAUUUAGAGAUGGUGGCGGCGGCCUACGCAGCGGCUGCCGGAGAAGAAUUCAAUCCUCGGUCAGUGAGCGGUGGUGGCGUCAUAGAAGAUCAAUCCUCGAUCUACGGCGGGAGAUAGGAGGAGCUCAACCAUCAAGGUCGGCGGCGGCGUGAUUCGAGCACAUCCAUCGCGGUCGAUGGCGGGAUAGUGGAGGUCGAACUUCAAGCGGCAUCCGCACUAAGCUUUGCUCCUCGACCCUGCUGUCUCAGCGUGCCGCCGCAUCGCGCUUGUCUGUCUGCUGGGUGGAGGUCGCCAUGCGGCUAAUUAAUUAAGGUAUUCUUUUCAUGAGUGGCUUAAUUAAGGUAUUCAAUUCCUAAGUGUAGUGUUGUACUAGUACUCUGCGUGUAAAUUGAGUGGCCAUUAACUUUUGUCAUUGCACAUCUGGAUAACAACAUGGAGCGCCCUCAGUAAUUAUUAAAAUAAAACCUUGUGAUUUAUGCACGCAUCUCUGGGCAGCAAUUAAUCUGUGUAUUAAUGUUUGUUUUGUUUUUAAUUACCAUUCGUGUGCUGCAAAUGGAACGAUCUCGAUGGAUGAAGAAUCGGAAAACCGUAGAUUUUAUCAGUGGCAUGACAGAGUUCAUGAAUUUGGCUUAAAGUACACAGAGGAGAAUUGGUGAUGCGGAUUACAUCCUGUGUCCAUGUACUGAUUGUGCCAAUACAGAGUCACAUGAAGUUGCAGAUGUCCAGAUGCACUUAGUCUCUAGAGGAUUCAUCGAUGGAUAUACACGUUGGACCAGACACGGUGAAGAGGAGGUCAUGGAUGAAGAUACCCAGGGCAGCGAGAUGCCAAACCCCAAUCAGUGUCACAUGGAUGUUGAAUCUAACAUCGGGGUAGAGGCGUCAAGCUACCAAUGGAACACCGGAAAUCCGAAAUGCCCAUUGGAAAACCAAGACGUCCAUGCGGAUGACGACGAUCUUGAUAUGCCAAAUUUUGCUGCUAUGAUUGCAGAUUUCGAGGGCCCAGAAAAGGAUAUGAUUGGUACAAGGAUCUGCCAACCAUUGAUGCGGACUCCAAGAAAGAAUUGUAUCCAGGUUGCAAAAAGAAAUAUUCCAGGUUGAGUGCCACCCUGGCGCUUCUCAGAUUUAAAGCAUCAAAUGUUCUAUCAAACAAGGGCUUCACAGAGAUCUUAGGUAUUUUCAAAGAUAUUCUUCCAGAAGAUAAUGUGCUCUCCAGAAGCACGAAUGAAGCGAAGAAAAUUGUUUGCCCACUGGAACUUGAGGUAUAGAAGAUACAUGCUUGUUUGAAUGAUUGUAUAUUGUACCGUGGUGAGUACAAAGAUUUCCAUGCAUGUCCCAUAUGCAAGCAUGCACGAUACAAGCGCAGGAGAGUGAAGGACAAGUACAAAUUGGAUGACAAGAUCAAGACAAGAAUCCCGUUCAAGGUUGUUUGGUACUUUCCUUUAAUUUCAAGGUUGAGGCAUUUGUUUGCAAACCCUAGAGAGGCAAAGAGGUUAUGGUGGCAUCAUGAUGAGCGAAUUGCGGAUAGUUUUAUGAGGCACCCGAAAGAUGGGGCUCAGUGGGAAUUAAUCGACAACAAGUUUGAAAAUUUUGCCAAGGAUCCUAGAAGUAUAAGGCUCGGGGAGUGUACUGACAGGAUGAAUCCUUUUGGCGAUAUGAGCACCAAUCACAACACAUGGCCGGUGCUUAUGUGCAUAUAUAACCUAGCUCCUUGGUUGUGUAUGAAGAAAAAUACAUUAUGAUGUCAAUGAUUAUCCAAGGCCCGAAGCAACCUGGAAUUGACAUCGACAUUUAUUUUCAGCUACUAGUAGAAGAACUGUUGACAGUGUGGACAGAUGUGCCUGCUGUAAAAUGUUAUGAUGCUUACAGAAAGGAUAUUUUCAAUCUACAUGCGAUGCUGGUGCACACCAUUCAAGAUAUGCCGGCAUUAGGCAACACAUCGGGGCAGAAAACAAAGGGAGAUGUAGGGUGUAUCACAUGCAUGGAUAGGACAGCUAGCAAAAGACUUCCCAACUCGCACAAAACAGUGUAUUUGCGUCAUCGUAGGUUCUUGCGGAUGAAUCACCCAUACCGAAAGAUGAAAGCUGAAUUUGAUGGUAUGACAGAGGCAUGUGUGGCCCCAAGACCCUAUGAUGGGGAGGUGGUCCACAACAUGGCUAAAUAAAUUAAUGUUGUGCUUGGCAAGAACCACCCUUUGACGGUGAAACUAACACCCAAGGAUCAAGUGUUUAAGAAGAAAUCGGUGUUCUGGAAAUUACCUUACUGGGAGAUUCUACGUGUAUGUCACUGCAUCGAUGCCAUGCACAUAGAGAAGAACGUAUGUGAAAGCAUCCCUGGUACUCUGCUCAAGAUUAAAGGUAAAAGAAAGGAUGGUGACGGUUCACGGCUCGAUAUGCUUGCUGAUCAAUCACAAUGCAAGAGUGAAGCAGAAGAUCAUGACAAAUUCAUCAAAGCUCGCCAGAGUUACAAUUUCAGUACAAAAGAAGCAACACAGUUCUUCACCUAUUUGUUGUCAGUUAAGACACCCUCUUCCUACUAUGCAAACAUCAGAAGUCUCGUGGAUGUGAGCUCAGGUAAAAUGAAGUUGGGACACAUGAAGUCACAUGAUUACCACGUAAUGUUGACACAAAUCCUACCUGUGGCCAUCAGGAAUCUGAUGGACAAACAUAUAAGAAACACACUCAUUGACCUCUGUGAUUUCUUCAACAAACUAUGGCAGAAAGUUGUAGAUCCUGAAGAGUUGGUUAAUAUGCAAGAUGAUAUUGCAAGAAUAUUGUCCAACCUAGAGAUGUUUUUCCCACCGUCAUUCUUUGAUGUCAUGGUCCAUCUCACUGUGCACCUUGUCGAAGAGAUAAAGUAUUGUGGUCCUGUUUUUCUUCGCAACAUGUAUCCCUUCGAGCGAUUCAUGGGAAUACUGAAGUGCUUUUGUCGGAACCGAAACCAUCCAGAGGCAAGCAUCCUACAAGGUUAUACCGCGGAGGAGGUGGUUGAGUUUUGCACUGAAUACAUGAAACAAAGACCUAUAGGUUUUCCCCUCUCUCACCACGAGGGAAGGCUGAAACGUAAGCCGGUCCUUGCUGGCACGCAAAUGGUUGCACCCAGAGAAUUGGCAGAGAAAGCCCAUUUGACGGUACUGCUUAACAACCCAGUUCUCAUCGCUUAUGCCGAAGAACACUUGGCAGAGAUACGCCAAAGCUUGUUACCAAUGGUGCCUUCAUCAGAAGUGGAGAUGAAGGAGCACACUAAGAAGUACGCCGAAUGGCUGAAGAAUCGUUUGGCACAAGGAUCCAUCUAUGACAUUGCUACGUGGUUGGCACAAAAGCCAUCACCUACGGUGUUGACGUACCAAGCAUGUGGCAUAAAUGGAUACGUGUUCUACACUGAGGAACUUGAUAAGAAGACCUCGUACCAGAAUAGCUCUGUUCGAAUAGAAUGCAUGACUGUAAAUGAAGCUGAUAAAAGGGUAUACUAUGGAACCAUCAAAGAGAUUUGGGAGCUUGACUAUGUGAAAGUUAAGGUGGCAUUAUUCAGGUGCGCAUGGAUCCCUCUUGGUUAGGUAAGGAUUGAUGAGUACAAGAAGACAUGUGUUAACAGGACAACUAUGGCAUAUCACACAGACCCAUUCAUUGUUGCCAGUGAUGCUACCCAGAUUUUCUUUGUGGAAGACCCCUUUCACAAGAACGGCCAUUUAGCGAUGCAUGGGAAGAGAAGGGUACUGGGUGUCGAUGAUGUUGCCGAUCAGGACGAGUACGAUGAAUUCGAUGAGUUGCCAACCAAGGGAUCGCGCACCAGUGCAACAGAGAAGCGUAAAAUCAUUAAAAAACCAAGUUCAUUCUGGGUCAACUUAAUGAUCCCAGUUCCCCCAUGUACAUGGGAAUUAAGCCGUAAGACUAGUCUUUAUGCCUACCCUACAACUUAAUUCAUUCAAUUUAGAACUGUCGUGUGUACUUAAUUUGUGAGUUAUGCCCGGUUUUUUGUUGAUGUAAGAACAAUUAAUAUGUUGACCUUGAUAUGCUGUCAGCUCAGGCAAUGAAUAUAAAAUGUUUUUUGUUAUUAUUAUUAUUAUUAUAUCAUAGAGGUAGCACACUCAAUCGAUCUCACUACAGUAUGUGUGAACAAAAAUAUGCAAUAUGGUUUGCGAAUAGCACACGGUUCGUUGAUGAAAGCCGUCUGUUGACCAAACCCCGCCACCCCGCCCAUGAUCUGAGUCGUGCUUUCUGAUUGGCCAGAACCCAAACCCCACAGAUCAUAUGUGUGCACCAUUGGAUGCUCCCAGAUCGAACAGCGAUCCUCAUCCCUUUCGACAGCACAUGCAGUUCUGGUUGUAAUUUAUUUUUAUGCACAAAAUGCACGUUAAUCUCAAAAAAUGUCUUAAAUAUAGCUAACGAUGCCUGAAAUGCGCCAGAAAAUCAAACCCAUGGUCUAAUGGUGAUUGCGUACCGUGGAAAUUUUUAUGAGGCCAAACGAUGAAGUCACCAGCCACGGGAGUUUGAAUUGACACGUCUCCUUUUGCAAAACCAUGAUCCUUCAUGUGAGAUGCUCCGGUUUGAAAGGAGCGGUCAUCAAACCUUGUGGAAAACUUUACCAAUUUUUUUCACGGGGUCGUGAGAGCAUGCCACAGGCACACAUCGAUUUUGAUGAUGUCCGAACUCCAUCUGAAUUUUCUGUAAUUAAAAUAUCAACUAGGCCUAUGCUAGUGGCCGCACCUCGCGGCCGAAAUGUUUGAAACUUCUCCCCACUUCUCGAACAAACGGAUGAAAACUCACAAAGCGACGCACAAAUGAUCUGUAAACCUUUGCUAGGCUGAUAGUAAGGGGGUAUCAUAGCUAGUAUCAUGCAUGCCAACUAGGCAAUUUUGAUGAGUUGUCAUAGAAUUAAUUAAAUGAAGAAAGAGAGGGUUAAGUAUCAUAUCAUGAAACCAUAUCAUAAUAAAUGUUAUGCUACUAUGUGUCAUGCAUGACAAUAUAAAUAAAGUACUACAUAUGAUACUACUUAGAGCAAGUAAGUACACAAUAGAGUGACAUAAGACUAGCGACAAUGGGUAGUAACAUAGAAUGCUACUAGUCUAUGUUACUACCUCUAUAGUGGGGAGUAACAUAUGUGUAGUAACAUGCAACACUUCAUUUAUUAGGCUAUAGACUCAUCUUCCUUGAGAUGUGUGAUGUUACUCAGACUAGCCACAAUGGGUAGUAACAUAGACUAGUAAGAUGCCCAUGUGUUACUAGUCUAUGUUACCACCUCUAUAGUGGGGAGUAACAUAUAUGUGUGGUAACAUGCAACACUUCAUUUAUUAGGCUAUAGACACAUCUUGCCUUGAUAUGUACAUGUGAUGUUACUCAUACUACUAGUAACUAGCUAUGUUACUACUUUCCUCUCUUUCUUCAUUUAUUGCUUGCCACAUCAUCUACUUAAUUUAUCUAGAUAUGUGUGAUGUUACUACCUAUGUUACUCCCAUUGUGGGUAGUCUCAUACUAUAGUAAGACUAUACCCACAGUGGGAGUAAUAUAGGUAGUAACAUCACACAUAUCCACUUUUCUCCAUUUCUUCAUGUAUUGCUUGCCACAUCAACUAUUUUAUCUAGAUAUGUGUGAUGUUACUACCUAUGUUACUCCCACUGUGGGUAGUCUGGUUAUAAGGAAUAGAAUAAUAUAUAUGUGCUUAUUAGUUGGAGGAAAGAAAAGAGAAGCAUGCUCUGGGUUAGUAGAGUCAGCUGCAACACAAGACCCAAGACACUUUGUGGGGAUGUAAGGUGGGCCAACUAUUGAUAAACUAGUAUGUAUAUAAAAAUUAUUAUUGUACAUGCCCGCUAAGAGAUUGGCUGUAUAUGACAUGUCAACUUCUUAUAGCCGACCCUGGGCUGUAUUAUUAACCAUGCAUGCUCUUAGUGAGGUAGCUAGUAUAUCAUAAAAGACUAACUAGUUUCAGACUAGCCAUAGUGGGAGUAACUUCAGCAUUAACACUAACACCUCAGCAAACUUGCUUAUGUGGCAAUAAGUUAAUGAGGAGAGAGAUAGUUUUAGUAACUUAGCUAGUUACUGCAGCAUCACAUGUCCCAAUGCAAUAUGAGUCUGUAACCUAAGAAAUGAAGCUUUGCAUGACACCACACUUAUGUUACUACCCACUAUGAAGGUCGUAAAAUAUAUAGUUGUCGGUGUACAAAAGUAGGGGCUCUCCUUUGUACCCCUUUACUUGUGCACGGGCAGUCAGAGUUGCGCCCGCGUCCUCACUGAGCAGGGCAGAGGAGGGAAGCCGAAGCACAAGGCAACCGAAGCAAAGCCAAGGCCAGAGGAACAGAGAACAAGAGGGUGAGGUGGACUCCCCCAACAAGACCUGUUGGGGAACGUAGUAAUUUCAAAAAAAUUCCUACGCACACGCAAGAUCAUGGUGAUGCAUAGCAACGAGAGGGGAGAGUGUUAUCUAUGUACCCUCAUAGACCGAAAGCGGAAGCGUUAGCACACCGCGGUUGAUGUAGUCGUACGUCUUCACGAUCCGACCGAUCAAGUACCGAACGCACGACACCUCCGAGUUCAGCACACGUUCAGCCCGAUGACGUCCCUCAAACUCCGAUACAGCCGAGUGUUGAGGGAGAGUUUCGUCAGCACGACGGCGUGGUGACAAUGAUGAUGUUCUACCGACGCAGGGCUUCGCCUAAGCACCGCUAUAGUAUUAUCGAGCUGGACUAUGGUGGAGGGGGGCACCGCACACAGCUAAAAGAUCAAAUCAAUUGCCGUGUCUCUAGGGUGCCCCCUGCCCCCGUAUAUAAAGGAGCAAGGGGGAGGUGCGGCCGGCUAGGAGGAGGCGCGCCAGGAGGAGUCCUACUCCCACCGGGAGUAGGACUCCCUCCCUUCCUUGUUGGAUUAGGAGAAGGGGGGAAAGAGGAGGGAGAGAGGAAGGAAAGGGGAGUGCCCCCCUCUCCUUGUCCUAUUCAGACUAGAGAGGGAGGGGCACGCGGCCCUGCCCUAGCCGCCUCUCCUCUUCUCCACUAGGGCCCACUAUGGCCCAUUAAGCCCCCGGGGGGUUCCGGUAACCCCUCGGUACUCCGGUAAAAUCCCGAUUUCACCCGGGACACUUCCGAUAUCCAAAUAUAGGCUUCCAAUAUAUCAAUCUUCAUGUCUCGACCAUUUCGAGACUCCUCGUCAUGUCCGUGAUCACAUCCGGGACAACCUUUGGUACAUCAAAACUCAUAAACUCAUAAUAUAACUGUCAUCGAAACUUUAAGCAUGCAGACCCUGCGGAUUCGAGAACUAUGUAGACAUGACCAAGACAUGUCUCCGGUUAAUAACCAAUAGCGGAACCUGGAUGCUCAUAUUGGCUCCCACAUAUUCUACGAAGAUCUAUAUCGGUCAGACCGCAUAACAACAUACGGUGUUCCCUUUGUCAUCGGUAUGUUACUUGCCCGAGAUUCGAUCGUCGGUAUCUCAAUACCUAGUUCAAUCUCGUUACCGGCAAGUCUCUUUACUCGUUCUGUAAUACAUCAUCCCGCAACUAAAUCAUUAGUUGCAAUGCUUUUAUGGCUUAAGUGAUGUGCAUUACCGAGUGGGCCCAGAGAUACCUCUCCGACCAUCGGAGUGACAAAUCCUAAUCUCAAAAUACACCAACCCAACAAGUACCUUCGGAGACACCUGUAGAGCACCUUCAUAAUCACCCAGUUACGUUGUGAAGUUUGGUAGCACACAAAGUGUUCCUCCGGUAAACGGGAGUUGCAUAAUCUCAUAGUCAUAGGAACAUGUAUAAGUCAUGAAGAAAGCAAUAGAAACAUACUAAACAAUCGAGUGCUAAGCUAACGGAAUGGCUCAAGUCAAUCACAUCAUUCUCCUAAUGAUGUGAUCCCGUUAAUCAAAUGACAACUCAUGUCAAUGGCUAGGAAACAUAACCAUCUUCGAUCAACGAGCUAGUCAAGUAGAGGCAUACUAGUGACACUCUGUUUGUGUAUGUAUUCACACAAGUAUUAUGUUUUCAGUUAAUACAAUUCUAGCAUGAAUAAUAAACAUUUAUCAUGAUAUAAGGAAAUAAAUAAUAACUUUAUUCUUGCCUCUAGGGCAUAUUUCCUUCAGUCUCCCACUUGCACUAGAGUCAAUAAUCUAGAUUACACAGUAAUGAUACUAACACCCAUGGAGUCUUGGUGCUGAUCAUGUUUUGCUCGUGGAAGAGGCUUAGUCAACGGGUCUGCAACAUUCAGAUCCGUAUGUAUCUUGCAAAUUUCUAUGUCUCCCACUUGGACUAGAUCCCGGAUGGAAUUGAAGCGUGUCUUGAUAUGCUUGGUUCUCUUGUGAAAUCUGGAUUCCUUCACCAAGGCAAUUGCACCAGUAUUGUCACAAAAGAUUUUCAUUGGACCCGAUGCACUAGGUAUGACACCUAGAUCGGAUAUGAACUCCUUCAUCCAGACUCCUUCAUUUGCUGCUUCUGAAGCAGCUAUGUACUCCACUUCACACGUAGAUCCCACCACAACGCUUUGUUUAGAACUGCACCAACUGAUAGCUCCACCGUUCAAUGUAAACACGUAUCCGGUUUGCGAUUUAGAAUCAUCCGAAUCAGCGUCAAAGCUUGCAUCAACGUAACCAUUUAAAGUGAGCUCUUUGUCACCUCCAUAAACGAGAAACAUAUCCUUAGUCCUUUUCAGGUAUUUCAGGAUGUUCUUGACCGCUGUCCAGUGAUCCACUCCUAAAUUACUUUGGUACCUCCCUGCUAGACUUAUAGCAAGGCACACAUCAGGUCUGGUACACAACGUUGCAUACAUGAUAGAGCCUAUGGCUGAAGCAUAGGGAACAUAUUUCAUCUUCUCUCUAUCUUCUGCAGUGGUCGGGCAUUGAGUCUUACUCAACUUCACACCUUGUAACACAGGCAAGAACCCUUUCUUUGCUUGAUCCAUUUUGAACUUUUUCAAAACUUUGUCAAGGUAUGUGCUUUGUGUAAGUCCAAUUAAGAAUCUUGAUCUAUCUCAAUAGAUCUUGAUGCCCAAUAUAUAAGCAGCUUCAGCGAGGUCUUUCAUUGAAAACUCUUAUUCAUGUAUCCCUUUAUGCUAUCCAGAAAUUCUAUAUCAUUUCCAAUCAACAAUAUGUCAUCCACAUAUAAUAUCAAAAAUGCUACAGAGCUCCCACUCACUUUCUUGUAAAUACAGGCUUCUCCAAAAGUCUGUAUAAAACCAAAUGCUUUGAUCACACUAUCAAAGCGUUUAUUCCAACUCCGAGAGGCUUGCACCAGUCCAUAAAUGGAUUGCUGGAGCUUGCACACUUUGUUAGCUCCUUUUGGAUCGACAAAACAUUCUGGUUGCGUCAUAUACAACUCUUCUUCCAAAAAUCCAUUCAGGAAUGCAGUCUUGACAUACAUUUGCCAAAUUUCAUAAUCAUAAAAUGCGGCAAUUGCUAACAUGAUUCGGACAGACUUAAGCAUCGCUACGGGUGAGAAAGUCUCAUCGUAGUCAAUCCCUUGAACUUGUCAAAAACCUUUCGCAACAAGUCGAGCUUUAUAGACAGUAACAUUACUGUCAGCGUCAGUCUUCUUCUUGAAGAUCCAUUUAUUCUCAAUGGCUUGCCGAUCAACGGGAAAGUCAACCAAAGUCCAUACUUUGUUCUCAUACAUGGAUCCCAUCUUAGAUUUCAUGGCCUCGAGCCAUUUCGCGGAAUCUGGGCUCACCAUCGCUUCUGCAUAGUUCGUAGGUUCAUCAUGGUCUAGUAACAUAACCUCUAGAACAGGAUUACAGUACUACUCUGGUGUGGAUCUUACUCUGGUUGACCUACGAGGUUUAGUAACAACUUGAUCUGAAGUUUCAUGAUCAUCAUCAUUAACUUCCUCACUAAUUGGUAUAGACGUCACAGGAACCGAUUUCUGUGAUGAACUAAUUUCCAAUAAGGGAGCAGGUACGGUUACCUCAUCAAGUUCUACUUUCCUCCCACUCAAUUCUUUCGAGAGAAACUCCUUCUCUAGAAAGGAUCCAUUCAUAGCAACGAAUGUCUUGCCUUCGGAUCUGUGAUAGACGGUGUACCCAACAGUCUCCUUUGGGUAUCCUAUGAAGACACAUUUCUCCGAUUUGGGCUCGAGCUUAUCAGGUUGAAGCUUUUUCACAUAAGCAUCGCGGCCCCAAACUUUAAGAAAUGACAACUUUGGUUUCUUGCCAAACCACAGUUCAUAAGGCGUUGUCUCAACGGAUUUCAAUGGUGCCCUAUUUAACCUGAAUGCAGUCGUCUCUAAAGCAUAACCCCAAAAUGAUAGUGGUAAAUCAGUAAGAGACAUCAUAGACCACACCAUAUCUAGUAAAGUACGAUUACGACGUUCAGACACACCAUUACGCUGUGGUGUUCCAGGUGGCAUGAGUUGCGAAACUAUUCCGCAUUGUUUCAAAUGUAGACCAAACUCGUAACUCAGAUAUUCUCCUCCACGAUCAGAUCGUAGAAACUUUAUUUUCUUGUUACGAUGAUUUUCAACUUCACUCUGAAAUUCUUUGAACUUUUCAAAUGUUUCAGACUUAUGUUUCAUUAAGUAGAUAUACCCAUAUCUGCUUAAAUCAUCUGUGAAGGUGCGAAAAUAACGAUAUCCGCCACAAGCCUCAACAUUCAUCGGACCACAUACAUCUGUAUGUAUGAUUUCCAACAAAUCUGUUGCUCGCUCCAUAGUUCCGGAGAACGGCAUUUUUGUCAUCUUGCCCAUGAGGCAUGGUUCGCAAGUACCAAGUGAUUCAUAAUCAAGUGAUUCCAAAAGUCCAUCAGUAUGGAGUUUCUUCAUGCGCUUUACACCAGUAUGACCCAAAAAGUAGUGCCACAAAUAAGUUGCACUAUCAUUAUCAACUCUGCAUCUUUUGGCUUCAACGUUAUGAAUAUGCGUAUCACUACUAUCGAGAUUCAUCAAAAAUAGACCACUCUUCAAGGGUGCAUGACCAUAAAAGAUAUUACUCAUAUAAAUAGAACAACCAUUAUUCUCUGAUUUAAAUGAAUAACCGUCUCGCAUCAAACAAGAUCCAGAUAUAAUGUUCAUGCUCAACACUAGCACCAAAUAACAAUUAUUUAGGUCUAAUACUAAUCCCGAAGGUAGAUGUAGAGGUAGCGUGCCGACGGCGAUCACAUCGACUUUGGAACCGUUUCCCACGCGCAUCGUCACCUCGUCCUUGGCCAGUGUUCGCUUAAUCUGUAGUCCCUGUUUUGAGUUGCAAAUAUUAGCAACAGAACCAGUAUCAAAUACCCAGGUGCUACUGCGAGCUCUGGUAAGGUACACAUCAAUAACAUGUAUAUCACAUAUACCUUUGUUCACCUUGCCAUCCUUCUUAUCCGCCAAAUACUUGGGGCAGUUCCACUUCCAGUGACCAGUCUGCUUGCAGUAGAAGCACUCGGUCUCAGGCUUAGGUCCUGACUUGGGUUUCUUCUCUUGAGCAGCAACUUGCUUGCUGUUCUUCUUGAAGUUCCCCUUCUUCUUCCAUUUGCCCUUUUUCUUGAAACUGAUGGUCUUAUUGACCAUCAACACUUGAUGCUCCUUCUUGAUUUCUACCUCCGCUACUUUUAGCAUUGCGAAGAGCUCGGGAAUCGUCUUAUCCAUCCCUUGAAUGUUAUAGUUCAUCACGAAGCUCUUGUAGCUUGGUGGCAGUGAUUGAAGAAUUCCGUCAAUGACGCUAUCAUCCUGAAGAUUAACUCCCAGUUGAAUCAAGUGAUUGCAGUACCCAGACAUUCUGAGUAUAUGCUCACUGAUAGAACUACCCUCCUCCAUCUUACAGCCGUAGGACUUAUUGGAGACUUCAUAUCUCUCAAUCCGGGCAUUUGCUUGAAAUAGUAACUUCAACUCCUGGAACAUCUCACAUGCUCCAUGACGUUCAAAAACGUCGUUGAAGUCCCGGUUCUAAGCCGUAAAGCAUGGCACACUGAACUAUCGAGUAGUCAUCAACACGCGACUGCCAGGCAUUCACAAUGUGUGCAGUUGCGGGUGCAGGUGGUACACCUAGCGGUGCUUCCAGGACGUAAUUCUUCUGUGCAGCAAUGAGGAUAAUCCUCAAGUUACGGACCCAGUCCAUGUAAUUGCUACCAUCAUCUUUCAACUUUGCUUUCUCAAGGAACGCAUUAAAAUUCAACGGAACAACAACAGGGCCAUCUAUCAACAAUCAACAUAGACAAGCAAGAUACUAGCAGGUACUAAGUUCAUGAUAAAUUUAAGUUCAAUUAAUCAUAUUACUUAAGAACUCCCACUUAGAUAGACAUCUCUCUAAUCUUCUAAGUGAUCACGUGAUCCAUAUCAACUAAACCAUAACCGAUCAUCACGUGAAAUGGAGUAGCUUUCAAUGGUGAACAUCACUAUGUUGAUCAUAUCUACUAUAUGAUUCACGCUCGACCUUUCGGUCUUAGUGUUCCGAGGCCAUAUCUGCAUAUGCUAGGCUCGUCAAGUUUAACCUGUGUAUUCUGUGUGUGCAAAAACUGGCUUGCACCCAUUGUAGAUGGACGUAGAGCUUAUCACACCCGAUCAUCACGUGGUGUCUGGGCACGACAAACUUUGGCAACGGUGCAUACUCAGGGAGAACACUUUUAUCUUGAAAUUUAGUGAGAGAUCAUCUUAUAAUGCUACCGUCAAUCAAAGCAAGAUAAGAUGCAUAAAAGAUAAACAUCACAUGCAACCAAUAUAAGUGAUAUGAUAUGGCCAUCAUCAUCUUGUGCUUGCGAUCUCCAUCUCCGAAGCACUGUCAUGAUCACCAUAGUCACCGGCGCGACACCUUGAUCUUCAUCGUAACAUCGUUGUCGUCUCGCCAAUCUUAUGCUUCUACGACUAUCGCUACCGCUUAGUGAUAAAGUAAAGCAUUACAGGGCGAUUGCAUUGCAUACAAUAAAGCAACAACCAUAUGGCUCCUGCCAGUUGCCGAUAACUCCGUUACAAAACAUGAUCAUCUCAUACAAUAAAAUUUAGCAUCAUGCUUUGACCAUAUCACAUCACAACAUGCCCUGCAAAAACAAGUUAGACGUCCUCUACUUUGUUGUUGCAAGUUUUACGUGGCUGCUAUAGGCUGAGCAAGAACCGUUCUUACCUACGCAUCAAAACCACAACGAUAGUUUGUCAAGUUGGUGUUGUUUUAACCUUUGCAAGGACCGAGCGUAGCUACACUCCGUUCAACUAAAGUUGGACAAAUUGACACCCGCCAGCCACCUGUGUGCAAAGCACGUCGGUAGAACCAGUCUCGCAUAAGCGUACGCGUAAUGUCGGUCCAGACCGCUUCAUCCAACAAUACCGUCGAACCAAAGUAUGACAUGCUGGUAAGCAGUAUGACUUAUAUCGCCCACAACUCACUUGUGUUCUACUCGUGCAUAUGACAUCUACGCAUAAAACCAGGCUCGGAUGCCAUUGUUGGGGAACGUAGUAAUUUCAAAAAAGAAAUCCUACGCACAUGCAAGAUCAUGGUGAUGCAUAGCAACAAUAGGGGAGAGUGGUGUCUACGUACCCUCGUAGACUAAAAGCGGAAGCAUUAGCACAACGCGGUUGAUGUAGUCGUAUGUCUUCAUGAUCCGACCAAUCAAGUACCGAACGCAUGGCACCUCCGAGUUCAGCACACGUUCAGCUCGAUGACGUCCCUCGAACUCCGAUCCAGCCGAGUGUUGAGGGAGAGUUUCGUCAGCACGACGGCGUGGUAACAAUGAUGAUGUUCUACCGAUGCAGGGCUUCGCCUAAGCACCGCUACAGUAUUAUCGAGGUGGACUAUGGUGGAGGGGGGCACCGCACACAGCUAAAAGAUCAAAUCAAUUGUUGUGUCUCUAGGGUGCCCCCCUGCCCCGUAUAUAAAGGAGCAAGGGGGGAGGUGCGGCCAGCUAGGAGGAGGCGCGCCAGGAGGAGUCCUACUGCCACCGGGAGUAGGACUCCCUCCCUUCCUUGUUGGAUUAGGAGAAGGGGGAAAGAGGAGGGAGAGAGGAAGGGAAGGGGGGCGCUGCCCCCCUCUCCUUGUCCUAUUCGGACUAGAGGUGGAGGGGCGCACGGCCCUGCCCUAGCCGCCUCUCCUCUUCUCCACUAAGGCCCACUAUGGCCCAUUAAGCCCCCGGGGGGUUCCGGCAACCCCUCGGUACUCCGGUAAAAUCCCGAUUUCACCCGGAACACUUCCGAUACCCAAAUAUAGGCUUCCAAUAUAUCAAUCUUCAUGUCUCGACCAUUUCGAGACUCCUCAUCAUGUCCAUGAUCACAUCCGGGACUCCGAACAACCUUCGGUACAUCAAAACUCAUAAUAUAACUGUCAUCGUAACUUUAAGCGUGCGGACCCUACGGAUUCGAGAACUAUGUAGACAUGACCGAGACACGUCUCCGAUGAAUAACCAAUAGCGGAACCUGGAUGCUCAUAUUGGCUCCCACAUAUUCUACGAAGAUCUAUAUCGGUGAGACCGCAUAACGACAUAUGUUGUUCCCUUUGUCAUCGGUAUGUUAUUUGCCCGAGAUUCGAUCGUCGGUAUCUCAAUACCUAGUUCAAUCUCGUUACCGGCAAGUCUCUUUACUCGAUCCGUAAUACAUCAUCCCGCAACUAUCAAUGCUUGCAAGGCUUAAGUGAUGUGCAUUACCGACUAGGCCCAGAGAUACCUCUCCCACGAUCGGAGUGACAAAUCCUAAUCUCGAAAUACGCCAACCCAACAAGUACCAUCAGAGACACCUGUAGAGCACCUUGCUACCUCUUGAGCACUGCGUUGGUUUUCCCCGAAGAGGAAGGGAUGAUGCAGCAAAGUAGCGUAAUUAUUUCCCUCAAUUUUUGAGAACCAAGGUAUCAAUCUAGUAGGAGGCUACGCGCGAGUCCCUCGUACCUACACAAAACAAAUAAAUCCUCGCAACCAAUGCAAAUAGGGGUUGGCAAUCCCUACUCGGCCACUUACGAGAGUGAGAUCUGAUAGAUAUGAUAAGAUAUUAUUUUUGGUAUUUUUAUGAUAAAGAUGCAAAGUAAAAUAAAAGCAAAGUAAAAGCAAAAGGAAAUAACUAAGUAUUGGUAGAUUAAUAUGAUGAAGACAGACCCAGGGGCCAUAGGUUUCACUAGUGGCUUCUCUCGAGAGCAUGAGAAUUCUACGGUGGGUGAACAAAUUACUGUUGAGCAAUUGACAGAAUUGAGAAUAGUUAUGAGAAUAUCUAGGUAUGAUCAUGUAUAUAGGCAUCACGUCCGAGACAAGUAGACCGACUCCUGCCUGCAUCUACUACUAUUACUCCACUCAUCGACCGCUAUCCAGCAUGCAUCUAGAGUAUUAAGUUAAUGAAAACAGAGUAACGCCUUAAUCAAGAUGACAUGAUGUAGAGGGAUAAACUCAUGCAAUAUGAUGAAAACCCCAUCUUGUUAUCCUCGAUGGCAAUAAUACAAUACGUGCCUUGCUGCCCCUACUGUCACUGGGAAAGGACACCGCAAGAUUGAACCCAAAGCUAAGCACUUCUCCCAUUGCAACAAAGAUCAAUCUAGUAGGCCAAACCAAACUGAUAAUUCGAAGAGACUUGCAAAGAUAACCAAUCAUACAUAAAAGAAUUCAGAGAAGAUUCAAAUAUUGUUCAUAGAUAGACUUGAUCAUAAACCCACAAUUCAUCGAUCUCAACAAACACACCACAAAAAGAAGAUUACAUCGAAUAGAUCUCCACAAGAGAGGGGGAGAACUUUGUAUUGAGAUCCAAAAAGAUAGAAGAAGCCAUCUAGCUAAUAACUAUGGACCCGUAGGUCUGAAGUAAACUACUCACACUUCAUCGGGGGGGCUAUGGUGUUGAUGUAGAAGCCCUCCAUGAUUGAUGCCCCCUCCGGCAGAGCUCCGAAACAGGCCCCAAGAUGGGAUCUCGUGGAUACAGUAAGUUGCGGCGGUGGAAUUAGGGUUUUGGCUCCGUAUCUGAUCGUUUGGGGUACGUAGGUUCAUAUAGGAGGAAGGAGUACGUCGGUGGAGCAACAGGGGGCCCACGAGGGUGGAGGGCGCGCCUGGUGGGGGUAGGCGCGCCCCCCUACCUCAUGGAUUCCUCUUUUGUGUCUUGAUGUAGGGUCCAAGUCUCCUGGGUCUUGUUCGUUGAGAAAAUCACGUUCCCAACGGUUUCAUUCCGUUUGGACUCUGUUUGAUAUUCCUUUUCUUCGAAACCCUAAAACAGGCAAAAACCAGCAAUUCUAGGUUGGGCCUCGGGUUAAUAGGUUAGUCCCAAAAAUAAUAUAAAAGUGGAUAAUAAAGCCCAAUAAUGUCCAAAACAAUAGAUAAUAUAGCAUGGAGCAAUCAAAAAUUAUAGAUACAUUGGAGACGUAUCAAGCAUCCCCAAGCUUAAUUCCUGCUCGUCCUCGAGUAGGUAAAUGAUAAAAACAAAUUUUUUGAUGCGGAGUGCUACUUGGCAUAAUUUUAAUGUAAUUCUUCUUAAUUGUGGCAUGAAUAUUCAGAUCCGAAAGAUUCAAGACAAAAGUUCAUAUUGACAUAAAAAUAAUAAUACUUCAAGCAUACUAACAAAGCGAUUAUGUCUUCUCAAAAUAACAUGGCCAAAGAAAGUUCAUCCCUACAAAAUCAUAUAGUUUAGUCAUGCUUCAUUUUCGUCACACAAGAAUGCUCUCAUCAUGCACAACCCCGAUGACAAGCCAAGCAAUUGUUUCAUACUUUAGUAAUCUCAAACCUAUAAAAUUUCACGCAAUAUAUGAGCGCGAGCCAUGGACAUAGCAUAAUGGGUGGAAUAGAAUAUAAUGAGGGGGGUUAUGUGGAGAAGACAAAAAAAGAGGAAGUCUCACAUCAACGAGGCUAAUCAAUGGGCUAUGGAGAUUCCCACAGAUUGAUGUUAAUGCAAGGAGUAGGGAUUGCCAUGCAACGGAUGCACUAUAGCUAUAAAUGUAUGAAAGCUCAACAAAAGAAACUAAGUGGGUGUGCAUCCAACUUGCUUGCUCACGAAGACCUAGGGCACUUGAGGAGGACCAUUGUUGGAAUAUACAAGCCAAGUUCUAUAAUGAAAAUUCCCACUAGUACAUGAAAGUGACAAAACAAGAGACUCUCUAUCAUGAAGAUUACGGUGUUACUUUGAAGCACAAGUGUGGAAAGGAUAGCAACAUUGUCCCUUCUCUCUUUUUCUCUCAUUUUUUUCUUUUUUUGGGCCUUCUCUUUUUUUAUAUGGCCUUUCUCUUUUUUAUGGCCUUUCUCUUUCUUUUUUUAUUUAUUCCUCACUUGGUACAAUGCUCUAGAAAAUGAUGAUCAUCACACUUGUAUUUAUUUACAUCUCAAUGAUUACACCUCGAUGCUAGAACAAAAGAUGACUCUAUAUGAAUGCCUCCGGAGGUGUACCGGGAUAUGCAAUGGACCAAGAGUGACAUGUAUGAAAUAAUUAUGAACGGUGGCUUUGCCACAAAUACUAUGUCAACUACAUGAUCAUGCUAAGCAAUAUGACAAUAAUGAAUGUGUCAUGAUGAACGGAAUGGUGGAAAGUUGCAUGGCAAUAUAUCUCGGAAUGGCUAUGGAAAUGCCGUAAUAGGUAGGUAUGGUGGCUAUUUUGAGGAAGAUAUAAGGAGCUUUAUGUGUGAAAGAUCGUAUUAUAUCACGGGGUUUGGAUGCACCGGCAAAGUUUGCGCCAACUCUCAAUGUGAGAAAGGACAAUGCACGGUACCGAAGAGGCUAGCAAGGAUGGAAGGGUAAGAGUGCAUAUAAUCCAUGGACUCAACAUUAGUCAUAAAGAACUCACAUACUUAUUGCAAAAAUCUACAAGUCAUCAAAAACCUCGGCACUACGCGCAUGCUCCUAGGGGGAUAGAUUGGUAGGAAAAUACCAUCGCUCGUCCCCGACCGCCACUCAUAAGGAGGACAAUCAAAUAACACCUCAUGUUUCAAAUUUGUUACAUAACUUUACCAUACGUGCAUGCUACGGGAGUUGCAAACUUCAACACAAGCAUUUCUCAAUUUCACAACUACUCAACUAGCAUGACUUUGAUAUUAUUACCUCCAUAUCUCAAAACAAUCAUCAAGCAUCAAACUUCUCUUAGUAUUCAAAACACUCAUAAGAAAAUUUUACUAAUCUUGAAUGCCUAGCAUAUUAGGACUUUAAGCAAAUUACCAUGCUAUUAAGACUCUCAAAAUAAUCUAAGUGAACCAUGAGAGAUCAAUAGUUUCUAUAAAACAAAUCCACCACCGUGCUCUAAAAGAUAUAAGUGAAGUACUAGAGCAAAACUAUAUAACUCAAAAGAUAUAAGCGAAGCACAAAGAGUAUUCUAACAAAUUCCAAAUCAUGUAUGGCUCUCUCAAAAGGUGAGUACAGCAAGGAUGAUUGUGGUAAACUAAAAAGUAAAGACUCAAAUCAUACAAGACGCUCCAAGCAAAACACAUAUCAUGUGGCGAAUAAAAAUAUAGCUCCAAGUAAAGUUACCGAUAGAAGUAGACGAAAGAGGGGAUGCCUUCCAGGGCAUCCCCAAGCUUUGGCUUUUAGGUGUCCUUAGAUUAUCUUGGGGGUGCCAUGUGCAUCCCCAAGAUUAGGCUCUUGCCACUCCUUGUUCCAUAAUCCAUCAAAUCUUUACCCAAAACUUGAAAACUUCACAACACAAAACUCAAAGUAGAAAAUCUCGUGAGCUCUGUUAGCGAAAUAAAACAAAAGACCACUUCAAGGUAAUGUAAUGAACUCAAUAUUUAUUUAUAUUGGUGUUAAAUCUACUGUAUUCCAACUUCUCUAUGGUUUAUAAACUAUUUUACUAGCCAUAGAUUCAUCAAAAUAAGCAAACAACACACGAAAAACAGAAUCUGUCAAAAACAGAAUAGUCAGUAGUAAUCUGUAGCUAGCGCAAGAUCUGGAACCCCAAAAAUUCUAAAAUAAAUUGCUGGACGUGAGGAAUUUAUAUAUUAAUCAUCUUCAAAAAUAAUUAACUAAAUAUCACUUUCCAACUAAAAAUUACAGCAGUUCUCGUGAGCGCUAAAGUUUCUGUUUUUUACAGCAAGUUCAACAAGACUUUCCCCAAGUCUUCCCAACGGUUCUACUUGGCACAAACACUAAUUAAACACAAAAAACACAACCAAAACAGAGGCUAGAUAAAUUAUUUAUUACUAAACAUCAGCAAAAAUCAAGGAAUGAAAAUAAAAUUGGGUUACCUCCCAACAAGCGCUAUCGUUUAACGCCCCUAGCUAGGCAUAACAAGCAAGGAUAGAUCUAGGUAUUGCCAUUUUUGGUAGGCAAUCCAUAAGUGGCUCUCAUAAUAGAUUCAUAAGGUAAUUUAAUUUUCUUUCUAGGAAAUUUUUCCAUGCCUUUCCUUAAUGGAAAUUGGAAUCUAAUAUUUCCUUCCUUCAUAUCAAUAAUUGCACCAAUUGUUCUAAGGAAAUGUCUACCAAGAAUAAUAGGACAUGAAGGAUUGCAAUCUAUGUCAAGAAAAAUAAAAUCUAUGGGCACAUAAUUCCUAUUUGCAACAAUAAGAACAUCAUUAAUUCUUCCCAUAGGUUUCUUAAUAGUGGAAUCCGCAAUGUGCAAGUUUAGAGAGCAAUCAGCAAAAUCACGGAAACCUAACAAAUCACACAAAGUCUUUGGAAUCGUGGAAACACUAGCACCAAAAACACAUAAAGCAUAGCAUUCAUGAUCUUUAAUUUUAAUUUUAAUAUUUGGUUCCCACUCAUCAUAGAGUUUUCUAGGGAUAGAAACUUCCAAUGCAAGUUUUUCUUCAUAAGAUUGCAUCAAGGCAUCAACGAUAUGUUUAGUAAACGCUUUAUUUUGACUAUAAGCGUGAGGAGAGUUUAGCACGGAUUGCAACAAGGAAAUACAAUCAAUCAAAGAGCAAUUUUCAUAGUUAAAUUCCUUGCAAUCCAUAAUAGUGGGUUUAGCAACAUCUAGGGUUUUAAUUUCUUCAAUCCCACUUUUAUCAAUUUUAGCAUCAAGAUCAAAAAAUUCCGAAUUCUUGGAACGCCUUCUAGGUAAAGGUGGAUCAUAUUCAGUCCCAUCAUUAUCAAGAUUAAUAUUGAAAAACAAAGAUUUAAUAGGGGACACAUCAAUAACUUUUAGAUCUUCAUCUUUAUUUUCAUAGCAACUAGAAGAACACGCUUUUAUAAAGGCAUCUUUCUUAGCACGCAUCCUAGCGGUUGUUUCUUUGCACUCAUCAAUGGAAAUUCUCAUGGAUUUGAGAGACUCAUUGAUAUCAUUCUUAGGUGGAAUAGAUCUAAGUUACAAAGAAUCAACAUCAAGAGCAAUUCUAUCAACGUUCCUAGCCAACUCAUCAAUCUUAAGCAAUUUUUCUUCAAUCAAAGCAUUGAAAUUCUUUUGCGAAGUAAUAAAUUCUUUAAUAUUAGAUUCAAAAUCAGAGUGCAUCUUAUUAUAAUUUCCAUAAGAAUUGUUUUAGGAAUUACCAUAAUUAUUAGAGGGAUUACUAGGAUAAGGCCUAGGAUUAAAAUUUCCUCUAUACGCAUUGUUACCAAAAUUGUUCCUGCCAACAAAAUUCACAUCCAUAGAUUCAUUAUUAUUCUCAAUCAAAGUAGACAAGGGCAUAUUAUUAGGAUCAGAAGAAACACUUUUACUAGCAAAUAGUUUCAUAAGUUCAUCCAUCUUUCCACUCAAAACAUUAAUUUCUUCUAUCGCAUGCACCUUUUUAUUAGUAGAUCUUUCGGUAUGCCAUUGAGAAUAAUUAACCAUAAUAUUAUCUAGGAGUUUAGUAGCUUCUCCUAAAGUGAUUUCCAUAAAAGUUCCUCCCGCAGCCGAAUCUAAAAUAUUUCUAGAAGCAAAAUUCAAUCAGGCAUAAAUUUUUUGAAUAAUCAUCCACAAAUUCAAACCAUGAGUGGGGCAAUUACGUAUCAUUAAUUUCAUUCUCUCCCAAGCUUGUGCAACAUGUUCAUGAUCAAGUUGCUUAAAAUUCAUAAUAUCGUUUCUAAGAGAGAUGAUCUUAGCGGGAGGAAAAUACUUAGAGAUAAAAGCAUCUUUGCACUUGUUCCAUGAAUCAAUACAAUUUUUAGGCAAAGACGAAAACCAAGCUUUAGCAUGAUCUCUAAGCGAAAAAGGAAAUAGCUUCAAUUUAACAAUAUCAUUAUCGACAUAUUUCUUCUUUUGCAUAUCACACAAAUCAACGAAGCUAUUAAGAUGGGUAGUGGCAUCUUCACUAGGAAGGCCGGAAAACGGAUCUUUCAUGACAAGAUUCAGCAAAGCAGCAUUAAUUUCACAAGAUUCAGCAUCGGUAAGAGGAGCAAUCGGAGUGCUAAUAAAAUCAUUAUUGUUGGUAUUGGUAAAGUCACACAAUUUAGUGUUAUCUUGAGCCAUCGUGACAAGCAAGCAAACUAACACACAAGCAAACAAAAAGCAAGUGGGCAAAAAUAGGCGAAUAGAGAAAGAGAGGGAGGAUAGAGAGAGAGAGGCGAAUAAAACGGCAAGGGUGAAGUGGGGGAGAGGAAAAUGAGAGGCAAAUGGAAAAUAAUGUAAUGCGGGAGAUAAGGGUAUGUGAUGGGUACUUGGUAUAUUGACUUUUGCGUAGACCUCCCCGGCAACGGCAACAGAAAUCCUUCUUGCUACCUCUUGAGCACUGCGUUGGUUUUCCCCGAAGAGGAAGGGAUGAUGCAGCAAAGUAGCGUAAGUAUUUCCCUCAGUUUUUGAGAACCAAGGUAUCAAUCUAGUAGGAGGCUACGCGUGAGUCCCUCGUACCUGCACAAAACAAAUAAAUCCUCGCAACCAACACAAAUAGGGCUUGUCAAUCCCUACUCAGCCACUUACAAGAGUGAGAUCUGAUAGAUAUGAUAAGAUGAUAUUUUUUGUAUUUUUAUGAUAAAGAUGCAAAGUAAAAUAAAAGCAAAGUAAAAGCAAAAGGAAAUAACUAAGUAUUGGUAGAUUAAUAUGAUGAAGAUAGACCUUGAGGCCAUAGGUUUCACUAGUGGCUUCUCUCAAGAGCAUAAGUAUUCUACGGUGGGUGAACAAAUUACUGUUGAACAAUUGACAGAAUUGAGCACAGUUAUGAGAAUAUCUAGGUAUGAUCAUGUAUAUAGGCAUCACUUCCAAGACAAGUAGACCGACUCCUGCCUACAUCUACUACUAUUACUCCACUCAUCGACCACUAUCCAGCAUGCAUCUAGAGUAUUAAGUUAAUGAAAAUAGAGUAAUGCCUUAAGCAAGAUGACAUGAUGUAGAUGGAUAAACUCAUGCAAUAUGAUGAAAACCCCAUCUUGUCAUCCUCGAUGGCAACAAUACAAUACGUGCCUUGCUGCUCCUACUGUCACUGGGAAAGGACACCACAAGAUUGAACCCAAAGCUAAGCACUUCUCCAUUGCAAGAAAGAUCAAUCUAGUAGGCCAAAACAAACUGAUAAUUCGAAGAGACUUGCAAAGAUAACCAAUCAUACAUAAACAAAUUCAGAGAAGAUUCAAAUAUUGUUCAUAGAUAGACUUGAUCAUAAACCCACAAUUCAUCGAUCUCAACAAACACACCUCAAAAACAAGAUUACAUCGAAUAGAUCUCCACAAGAGAGGGGGAGAACUUUGUAUUGAGAUCCAAAAAGAGAGAAGAAGCCAUCUAGCUAAUUACUAUGGACCCGUAGGUCUGAAGUAAACUACUCACACUUCAUCAGGGGGCUAUGGUGUUGAUGUAGAAGCCCUCCGUGAUUGAUGCCCCCUCCGGCGGAGCUCCGGAAUAGGCCCCAAGAUGGGAUCUCGUGGAUAGAAAGUUGCGGUGGUGGAAUUAGGGUUUUGGCUCCGUAUCUGAUCGUUUGGGGGUACAUAGGUAUAUAUAUAGGAGGAAUGAGUACGUCGGUGGAGCAACAGGGGGCCCACGAGGGUGGAGGGCGUGCCUGGUGGGGGUAGGCGCGCCCCCCUACCUCGUGGCUUCCUCUUUUGUGUCUUGACGUAGGGUCCAAGUCUCCUGGGUCUUGUUCGUUGAUAAAAUCACGUUCCCGAAAGUUUCAUUCCGUUUGGACUCCCUUUGAUAUUCCUUUUCUUCGAAACCCUAAAACAGGCAAAAAAACAGCAAUUCUGGGUUGGACCUCCGGUUAAUAGGUUAGUCCCAAAAAUAAUAUAAAAGUGGAUAAUAAAGCCCAAUGAUGUCCAAAACAAUAGAUAAUAUAGCAUGGAGCAAUCAAAAAUUAUAGAUACGUUGGAGACGUAUCACACCUUUAUAAUCACCCAGUUACGUUGUGACGUUUGGUAGCACACAAAGUGUUCCUCUGGUAAACAGGAGUUGCAUAAUCUCAUAGUCAUAGGAACAUGUAUAAGUCAUGAAGAAAGCAAUAGCAACACACUAAACGAUCGAGUGCUAAGCUAACGGAAUGGGUCAAGUCAAUCACAUCAUUCUCCUAAUGAUGUGAUCCCGUUAAUCAAAUGACAACUCAUGUCAAUGGCUAGGAAACAUAACCAUCUCCGAUCAACGAGCUAGUUAAGUAGAGGCAUACUAGUGACACUCUGUUUGUCUAUGUAUUCACACAAGUAUUAUGUUUCCGGUUAAUACAAUUCUAGCAUGAAUAAUAAACAUUUAUCAUGAUAUAAGGAAAUAAAUAAUAACUUUAUUAUUGCCUCUAGGGCAUAUUUCCUUCAAGACCCUUGUCGGGGCGGCCUCCGCAGCUCCGGGAAGACCCUUGCCGGGGCAACUUGCCCAAUGCCAGCAGAACGCGCCGCCCUUGAGCCAAGGGGUUCCAACGCCAUCACCCACAUCGGAACAAAGGCUCGGGAGGCACCUCCAUGGUAGCAUGCAGAUCUUUGUGGAGAUCAUAAAUACACAAGAUUAGAUGAGGACCAGAAGACGACGAUCCUUGGCAAGAUCCUUGCCAAGGAAAUCCACGAGACCCCCGACAAGAUCCUUGCCGGGGAUGACUGCGGUGCCACGUCAAGACCCUUGCCGGGCCCCCGGCAAGACCCUUGCCGAGGGCAUCUGUGGGGCCGCAGCCAGGCCCACAUAUGCCAAGACUCCACCACUGCUCCCAUAUAGCUGCUAGCUCAACCAGCUAGGCAGGCAUCUGUGUGGCAGCGUGCGGACUCCACACCGACUCAGCAAGCACCGGCAUGGUGGCAUGCAGAUCUUCGUGAAGACUCCGCCACCAUGCCGGCCCAGCAGCCAGCCAACGUGGCGCUACAACGCAUCGUCAGCUCAGACGCGCGUCGGGGCCAGGCGAGGCGGCAACAGCUAGGACAAGCUUCCUUUUCGUCCCUGAUAAAGCAAGAGGGGCACGAGACAGUGCAUUAAAUGUGUUUGUCCGAUGGUGCCAGAGGAUAGACUCAGCCACUAUACACCUUUCCACCUCCUGUGUGCCACUAUGGCGACCCCUUUUUCGCUAUAAAAGGAGGCCCGAUGCAUACUAGAGAGGGAUUCGGAUCUUUGGAACUAGACACACACCGUAGCUAGUUCAAGAACUCAAGAACACUCAAAUAUAUGUCAAAGCAGGACUAGGUUUUAUGCGUCUCCGUGGCCCGAACCUGGGUAAAUGAUCCUUGUGCUAACCGCCAGACCCGCUCUUUGCACAACCCCGCGCCCGCUAACCGUCGAAGGGAUCCCAGCGAUUCCAUAGGUGUCGUUUCCACCGACGUCUUUGGUGCGCCAGGUAGGGGGCUGAUACGUCUCCAACGUAUCUAUAAUUUUUUAUUGUUCCAUGCUAUAUUAUAUCCUGUUUUGAACAUUAUUGGGCUUUAUUAUACACUUCUAUAUUAUUUUUGGGACUAACCUAUUAAGCGGGGGCCCAGCCCAGAAUUGUUGUUUUUUGCCUAUUUUAGGGUUUUGCAAGAUAAGAAUAUCAAACGGAGUCAAAACGGAAUGAAACCUUCGGGAACGUGAUUUUCGAAAUGAACNNNNNNNNNNNNNNNNNNNNNNNNNNNNNNNNNNNNNNNNNNNNNNNNNNNNNNNNNNNNNNNNNNNNNNNNNNNNNNNNNNNNNNNNNNNNNNNNNNNNNNNNNNNNNNNNNNNNNNNNNNNNNNNNNNNNNNNNNNNNNNNNNNNNNNNNNNNNNNNNNNNNNNNNNNNNNNNNNNNNNNNNNNNNNNNNNNNNNNNNNNNNNNNNNNNNNNNNNNNNNNNNNNNNNNNNNNNNNNNNNNNNNNNNNNNNNNNNNNNNNNNNNNNNNNNNNNNNNCCUUCCUCCUAUAUAUACCUAUGUACCCCAAAACUACCAGAUACGGACCCAAACCCCUAAUUCCACCACUGUAAUUUUCUGUAUCCACGAGAUCCCAUCUUGGGGCCUGUUCCGGAGCUCCGCCGGAGGGGGCAUCGAUCACGGAGGGCUUCUACAUCAACACCAUAGACCCUCCGAUGAAGUGUGAGUAGUUUACUUCAGACCUACGGGUCCAUAGUUAUUAGCUAGAUGGCUUCUUCUCUCUUUUUGGAUCUCAAUACAAUCUCCCCCUCUCUCGUGGAGAUCUAUUCGAUGUAAUCUUCUUUUGCGGUGUGUUUGUUGAGACCGAUGAAUUGUGAGUUUAUGAUCAAGUUUAUCUAUGAACAAUAUUUGAAUCUUCUCUGAAUUCUUUUAUGUAUGAUUGGUUAUCUUUGCAAUGUUCUUCGAAUUAUCAGUUUGGUUUGGCCUACUAGAUUGAUCUUUCUUGCAAUGGGAGAAGUGCUUAGCUUUGGGUUCAAUCUUACAGUGUCCUUUCCCAGUGACAGUAGGGGCAGCAAGGCACGUAUUGUAUUGUUGCCAUCGAGGAUAACAAGAUGGGGUUUAUAUCAUAUUGCAUGAGUUUAUCCCUCUACAUCAUGUCAUUUUGCUUAAAGUGUUACUCUGUUCUUAUGAACUUAAUACUCUAGAUGCAUGCUGGAUAGCGGUCGAUGUGUGGAGUAGUAGUAGUAGAUGUAGGUUGGAGUCGGUCUACUUGUCUCGGACGUGAUGCCUAUAUACAUGAUCAUACCUAGAUAUUCUCAUAACUAUGCUCAAUUCUGUCAAUUGCUCAACAGUAAUUUGUUCACUCACCGCAAUACUUAUGCUCCCGAGACAAGCCACUAGUGAAACCUAUGCCCCCCGGGUCUAUUCUCCAUUAUAUCAAUCUCCAAUACUUAGUUAUUUUUAUUGCUUUCUAUUUUACUUUGCAUCUUUAUCAUAAAAAUACCAAAAAUAUUAUCUUAUCAUAUCUAUCAGAUCUCACUCUCGUAAGUGACCUGUAGGGAUUGACAACCCCUUAUCGCGUUGGUUGCGAGGAUUUAUUUGUUUGUGUAGGUCCGAGGGACUCGCGCGUGGCCUCCUACUAGAUUGAUACCUUGGUUCUCAAAAACUGAGGGAAAUACUUACGCUGCUUUACUGCAUCACCCUUUCCUCUUCAAGGGAAAACCAACGCAGUGCUCAAGAGGUAGCAAUAAUGAUUUCUAGCGCCGUUGCCGGGGAGUCUACGCAAAAGUCAACAUACCAAGUACCCAUCACAAAUCCUUAUCUCCCGCAUUACAUUAUUUGCCAUUUGCCUCUCGUUUUCCUCUCCCCCACUUCACCCUUGCCGUUUUAUUCGUCCUCUCUCUCUCUAUCUAUCCUCCCUCUCUUUCUCUCUUCGCCUCUUUUUGCCCGUCUCUUGUUUGCUUGUGUGUUGGAUUGCUUGCUUGUCAUGAUGGCUCAAGAUAACACCAAAUUGUGUGACUUCACUAAUACCAACAACAAUGAUUUUAUUAGCACUCUAAUUGCUCCUCUUACAGAUGUUGAAUCUUGUGAAAUUAAUGCUGCUUUGUUGAAUCUUGUCAUGAAAGAUCAAUUCGCCGGCCUUCCUAGCGAAGAUGCCGCUACCCAUCUAAAUAGCUUCGUUGAUUUAUGUGAUAUGCAAAAGAAGAAAGAUGUGGACAAUGAUAUUGUUAAAUUGAAGCUAUUUCCUUUUUGGCUUAGAGAUCGUGCUAAAGCUUGAUUUUCGUCGUUGCCUAAAAAUAGUAUUGAUUCAUGGAAUAAGUGCAAAGAUGCUUUUAUCUCUAAGUAUUUUCCUCCUGCUAAAAUCAUCUCUCUUAGAAACGAUAUCAUGAAUUUUAAGCAACUUGAUCAUGAACAUGUUGCACAAGCUUGGGAGAGGAUGAAAUUAAUGAUACGUAAUUGCCCUACACAUGGUUUGAAUUUGUGGAUGAUUAUACAAAAAAUUUAUGCCGGAUUGAAUUUUGCUUCUAGAAAUCUUUUAGAUUCGGCCGCGGGAGGCACUUUUAUGGAAAUCACUUUAGGAGAAGCUACUAAACUCCUAGAUAAUAUUAUGGUUAAUUAUUCUCAAUGGCACGCUGAAAGAUCUACUAAUAAGAAAGUGCAUGCGAUAGAAGAAAUCAAUGUUUUGAGUGGAAACAUGGAUGAACUUAUGAAAUUAUUUGCUAAUAAAAGUGUUUCUUCUGAUCCUAAUGAUAUGCCUUUGUCUACUUUGAUUGAGAAUAAUAAUGAAUCUAUGGAUGUGAAUUUUGUUGGUAGGAAUAAUUUUGGUAACAACGCGUAUAGAGGAAACUUUAAUCCUAGGCCGUAUCCUAGUAAUUCCUCUAAUAAUUAUGGUAAUUCCUACAACAAUUCUUAUGGAAAUUCUAAUAAGAUGCCAUCUGAUUUUGAAUCCAAUAUUAAAGAAUUUAUUACUUCGCAAAAGAAGUUCAAUGCUUUGAUUGAAGAAAAAUUGCUUAAGAUUGAUGAGUUGGCUAGGAAUGUUGAUAGAAUUUCUCUUGAUGUUGAUUCUUUGAAACUUAGAUCUAUACCACCUAAGCAUGAUAUCAAUGAGUCUCUCAAAGUCAUGAGAAUUUCCAUUGAUGAGUGCAAAGAAAGAACCUCUAGGAUGCGUGCUAAGAAAGAUUGCUUUAUAAAAGCAUGUUCUUCUAGUUUCCAUGAUAAUAAAGAUGAAGAUCUAAAAGUUAUUGAUGUGUCCCCUAUUAAAUCUUUGUUUUGCAGUAUGAAUCUUGAUAAUGAUGGGACUGAAUGUGAUCCACCUUUACCUAGAAGGCGUUUCAAAAAUUCGGAGUCUUUAGAUCUUGACGCUAAAAUUGUUAAAAGUGGGAUUGAAGAAGUCAAAACACUAGAUAUAGACGAACCCACUAUUUUGAAUUUCAAGGAAUUUAGUUAUGAUAAUUGCUCUUUGAUAGAUUCUAUUUCCUUGUUGCAAUAUGUGCUAAAUUCUCCUCAUGUUUAUAGCCAAAAUAAAGCCUUUACCAAACAUAUCGUUGAUGCUUUGAUGCAAUCUUAUGAAGAAAAAGUUGAGUUGGAAGUUUCUAUUCCUAGAAAACUUUAUGAUGAGUGGGAACCUACUAUUAAAAUUAAAAUUAAAGAUCAUGAAUGCUAUGCUUUGUGUGAUUUGGGAGCUAGUGUUUCCAUGAUUCCUAAGACUUUGUGUGAUUUGCUAGGUUUCCGUGAUUUUGAUGAUUGCUCUUUAAACAUGCAUCCUACAGAUUCCACUGUUAAGAAACCUAUGGGAAGAAUUAAUGAUGUUCUUAUUAUUGCAAAUAGGAAUUAUGUGCCCAUGGAUUUUAUUGUUCUUGACAUAGAUUGCAAUCCUUCAUGUCCUAUUAUUCUUUGUAGACCUUUUCUUAGAACGAUUGGUGCAAUUAUUGAUAUGAAGGAAGGGAAUAUUAGAUUCCAAUUUCCGUUAAGGAAAGGCAUGGAACACUUCCCUAGAAAGAAAAUUAAAUUACCUUAUGAAUCUAUUAUGAGAGCCACUUAUGGAUUUCCUUCCAAAGAUGGCAAUACCUAGAUCUAUCUUCGCUUUUAUGCCUAGCUAGGGGCGUUAAACGAUAGCGCUUGUUGGGAGGCAACCUAAUUUUAUUUUUAUUCCUUGAUUUUUUCUCAUGUGUAGUAAUAAAUAAUUUAUUUAGCAUCUGUUUUGGUUGUGUUUUUUGUGUUUAAUUAGUGUUUGUGCCAAGUAGAACCAUUGGGAAGACUUGGGGAAAGUCUAUUUAAUCUUGCUGUAAAAAACAAAAACUUUAGCACUCACAAGAACUGCUGUCAUUUUUAUUUGGAAAGUGAUAUUUAGUUAAUUAUUUUUGCAGAUGAUUAAUAGAUACAUUCCUCCCGUCCAGCAAUUUAUUUUAGAAUUUUUGGGGUUCCAGAUCUUGCGUUAGCUACAGAUUACUACAGACUGUUCUGUUUUUGACAGAUUCUGUUUUUCGUGUGGUGUCUGCUUAUUUUGAUGAAUCUAUGGCUAGUAAAAUAGUUUAUAAACCAUAGAGAAGUUGGAAUACAGUAGGUUUAACACCAAAAUAAGUAAAGAAUGAGUUCAUUACAGUACCUUGAAGUGGUGUUUUCUUUUCUUUCGCUAACGGAGCUCACGAGAUUUUCUACUUUAAGUUUUGUGUUGUGAAGUUUUCAAGUUUUGGGUAAAGAUUUGAUGGAUUAUGGAACAAGGAGUGGCAAGAGCAAAAGCUUGGGGAUGCCCAUAGCACCCCCAAGAUAAUAUAAUGACACCUAAAAGCCAAAGCUUGGGGAUGCCCCGGAAGGCAUCCCCUCUUUCAUCUACUUCUAUCGGUAACUUUACUUGGAGCUAUAUUUUUAUUUACCACAUGAUAUGUGUUUUGCUUGGAGCGUCUUGUAUUAUUUGAGUCUUUAUUUUUUUAGUUUUCCAUAAUCAUCCUUGCUGCACACACCUUUUUGAGAGAGACACUCAUGAUUCGGAGAUUGUUAGAAUAUUCUAUGUGCUUCACUUAUAUCUUUUGAGUUAUAUAGUUUUGCUCUAGUGCUUCACUUAUAUUUUUUUAGAGCACGUUGGUAGAUUUGUUUUUUAGAAACCAUUGUUCUCUCAUGCUUCACUUAGAUUAUUUUGAGAGUCCUACAAAACAGCGUGGUAAUUUUCUUUAAUUAUUUUAGGCAUUCAAGAUUAAUAAUAAAAUUUUCUUAUGAGUGUGUUGAAUACUAUGAGAAGUUUGAAACUUGAUAAUUGUUUUUCACAUAUGGAGAUGGUGAUACUAGAGUCGUGCUAGUCGACUAGUUGUGAAUUUUAGAAAUACUUGUGUUAAAGUUUGUGAUUCCCGUAGCAUGCACAUAUGGUGAACUGCUAUGUGAUGAAGCCGGAGCAUGAUUUAUUUAUUGAUUGUCUUCCUUAUGAGUGGCGGUCGGGGACGAGCGAUGGUCUUUUCCUACCAAUCUUUCCCUACUUUGCUUUGAUAACUUGUAGAUUUUUGCAAUAAGUAUAUGAGUUCUUUAUGAAUAAUGUUGAGUCCAUGGAUCAUAUGCACUCUCACCCUUCCACCGUUGCUAGCCUCUCUAAUACCGCGCACCUUUCGCCGGUAUCAUACACCCACCAUAUACAUUCCUCAAAACAGCCACCAUACCUACCUAUCAUGGCAUUUCCAUACCAAUUCCGAGAUAUAUUGCCAUGCAACUUUCCACCGUUCCGUUUACUAUGACACGCUCCAUCAUUGUCAUAUUGCUUUUGCAUGAUCAUGUAGUUGACAUUGUAUUUGUGGCAAAGCCACCAUUCAUAAUUCUUUCAUACAUGUCCCUCUUGAUUCAUUGCAUAUCCCGGUACAUCGCCGGAGGCAUUCACAUAGAGUCAUAUUUUGUUCUAAGUAUUGAGUUCUAAUUGUUGAGUUGUAAGUAAAUAAAAGUGCGCUGAUCAUCAUUUUUUAGAGCAUUGUCCCAAGUGAGGAAAGGAUGAUGGAGACUAUGAUUCCCCCACACGUCGGGAUGAGACUCCGGAUGAAAAAAAGUCCAUAAAAAGAAGACAAAAGGCCCAAAUAAAAAAAUGAGAGAAAAAGAGAGAAGGGGCGAUGCUACUAUCCUUUUACCACACUUGUUCUUCAAAGUAGCACCAUGAUCUUCAUGAUAGAGAGUCUCCUAUGUUAUCACUUUCAUAUACUAGUGGGAAUUUUUCAUUAUAGGACUUGGCUUGUAUAUUCCAAUGAUGGGCUUCCUCAAAAUGCCCUAGGUCUUCGUGAGCAAGCGAGUUGGAUGCACACCCACUUAGUUCAUUUUGUUGAGCUUUCAUACACUUAUAGCUCUAGUGCAUCCGUUGUAUGGCAAUCCCUACUCACUCACAUUGAUAUCUAUUCAUGGGAAUCUCCAUACCCCGUUGAUACGCCUAGUUGAUGUGAGACCAUCUUCUCCUUCCUUUUGUCUUCUCCACAACCACCAUUCUGUUCCACCUAUAGUGCUAUGUCCAUGGCUCACGCUCAUGUAUUGCGUGAAGAUUGAAAAUGUUUGAGAACACUAAAAGUAUGAAACAAUUGCUUGGCUUGUCAUUGGGGUUGUGCAUGAUUUAAAUACUUUGUGUGGUGAAGAUGAAGCAUAGCCAGACUAUAUGAUUUUGUCGGGAUAACUUUCUUUGGCCAUGUUAUUUUGAGAAGACAUAACUUCCUUUUGUCUUGAAUCUUUCGGAACUGAAUAUUCAUACCACAAUUAAGAGAAUUACAUUGAAAUUAUGCCAAGUAGCAUUCCACAUAAAAAAUUCUGUUUUUAUCAUUCACCUACUCGAGGACGAACAGGAAUUAAGCUUGGGGGUGCUUGAUACGUCUCCAUCGUAUCUAUAAUUUUUUAUUGUUCCAUGCUAUGUUAUAUCCUAUUUUUAACAUUAUUGGGAUUUAUUAUACACUUUUAUAUUAUUUUUGGGACUAACCUAUUAACCGGAGGCCCAGCCCAGACUUGUUGUUCUUGGCCUAUUUUAGGGUUUCGCAAGAAAAGAAUAUCAAACAGAGUCCAAAAGGAAUGAAACCUUCGGGAAUGUGAUUUUCGAAACGAACAUGAUCCAGGAGACUUGGACCCUACGUCAAGCAACCAACAGGGAAGCCACGAGGUAGGGGGCGCACCUCCCUCCCCCCCAGGCGCGCCCUCCACCCUCGUGGGCCCCCUGUUGCUCCACCGACGUACUCCUUCCUCUUAUAUAUACCUACGUACCCCCAAACUACCAGAUACGUAGCCAAACCACUAAUUCCACCACCGUAACUUUCUAUAUCCAUGAGAUCCCAUCUUGGAGCCUGUUCCGGAGCUCCGCCGAAGGGGGCAUCGAUCAUGGAGGGCUUCUACAUCAACACCAUAGCCCCUCCGAUGAAGUGUGAGUAGUUUACUUCAGACCUACGGGUCCAUAGUUAUUAGCUAGAUGGCUUCUUCUCUCUUUUUGGAUCUCAAUACAAUGUUCCCCCCCUCUCUCGUGGAGAUCUAUUCGAUGUAAUCUUCUUUUGCGGUGUGUUUGUUGAGACCGAUGAAUUAUGGGUUUAUGAUCGAGUUUAUCUAUGAACAAUAUUUGAAUCUUCUCUGAAUUCUUUUAUGUAUGAUUGGUUAUCUUUGCAAAUCUCUUUGAAUUAUCAGUUUGGUUUGGCCUACUAGAUUGAUCUUUCUUGCAAUGGGAGAAGUGCUUAGGUUUGGGUUCAAUCUUGCGUGUCCUUUCCCACUGACAGUAGGGAUAGCAAGGCACGUAUUGUAUUGUUGCCAUCGAGGAUAACAAGAUGGGAUUAAUAUCAUAUUGCAUGAGUUUAUCCCUCUACAUCAUGUCAUCUUGCUUAAAGCGUCACUCUGUUCUUAUGAACUUAAUACUCUAGAUGCAUGCUGGAUAGCGGUCAAUGUGUGGAGUAAUAGUAGUAGAUGCAGGCAGCAGUCGGUCUACUUGUCUCGGACGUGAUGCCUAUAUACAUGAUCAUACCUAGAUAUUCUCAUAACUAUGCUCAAUUCUGUCAAUUGCUAAACAGUAAUUUGUUCACCCACCGUAAUACUUAUGCUCUCGAGAGAAGCCACCAGUGAAACCUAUGGCCCCCAGGUCUAUUCUCCAUUAUAUCAAUCUUCCAAUACUUAGUUAUUUUUAUUGCUUUCUAUUUUAUUUUGCAUCUUUAUCAUAAAAAUACCAAAAAUAUUAUCUUAUCAUAUCUAUCAGAUCUCACGCUCGUAAGUGACCGUGUAGGGAUUGACAACCCCUUAUCGCGUUGGUUGCGAGGAUUUAUUUGUUUGUGUAGGUGCAAGGGACUCGCGUGUGGCCUCCUACUAGAUUGAUACCUUGGUUCUCAAAAACCGAGGGAAAUACUUACACUGCUUUACUACGUCACCCUUUCCUCUUCAAGGGAAAACUAACACAGUGCUCAAGAGGUAGCAGGGGCGCAGUUGUGAAAAUGUGGUCUAGCAGUUAGUUUAGCAAUUCUUCAUCGCCAUGGCUCCCAAGAAGAAGACGAUCACAGCGAUCGGUUCAUCGGGGACCAAACGGCCCGUACAACUGCGGGCGAGGAGUGGGGCGGUCGCGGACGGGAGCCGAGGCGUGGCCCAUGAACACCCGCAUCGCUCUGGUAGCCAAAGCCUGGAGAGCGGCGUCGUUCAUGCGCGAGACGACAGACCACACGCCGCCAAAUCCAAUGACGGAGCCGGGCCCCCGCAGGCGGUGUGGGGCCCUCCAGGGGCAGCGUCGUGCCACCCUCGGGCAGCGCGGCGACUUCCGAGGCGCCUACACUGGCGCCCACGACGCUCGCUUCCCAGGUUGUGCGCGGCGAGCAGCAUCACCACGCUGGUGACCCUGGGCGCCGCCGUGGGAAGAGUCAUGUGCGUCAUUCGCGGGACGUAGAGGCCAACAUGCACGCCGAGGCGCUGGCGAAACGGCGCACAGCCGCCAGGCCAUGAUAGAGCUCCUUCUAACAUGGUUAGAAGUUAGAGCGCGUCACGGUCCAUGCAGCUUUCGCCACCACCGACGCCCGCAGAAGCUUUGGCGCGCACAGUUGCUCCUCGACUUUCCUCCCGCUACGGAAAAGCUCGACGAGUGGAGAGCCACCAUCUGGAGCCUUGUUGGAAUUGCCAACAAAGAUGAGCCGCAACUAGCGGGACCCUCAGGCCGGCACUCCGUCGAGCCACCGCAUGCCAGUGGUGGAAGGACCGGAGGUGCUGCAGCCACGAUGCACUCUCCUCCUCCACGCCAGCCACUGUGGGUGCCGGUCCGUCGUGAUGACGCUUGUGAUAACAUCUCCAUAGCUUUGUCCGACCCACGGACCCACCGUGAUCAGCGCCGAGUUCUUCGGGAGCGAGCCCAUGAAGACGCUCGAACCACCAUCGAGCGUCGGCGCGAUGCACGCCACCAGUCAGAUAGGCGGGUGAGGCCCACUAUGGACAACCCAGCACCGGGAGGCUCUGGCGGCCUACCCUACUAGGUGGGUUGCCCAGCCUUUACCCGUGAGCUGCGGCAGUUCCAGUGGCCCUCCCACCGCACGUUCAAGCCCGACGUUGGCGAGAAGUACAAUGGCAAGACCCACCCGUCAGAGUUCCUCAACAUCUACACCAUCGCGGUGCAAGCUGCUGGAGCCUGCGACGACAAGGUGCUUGCCAAUUACUUCCCAUUGGCACUUAAACCCAAUGUUAUGUCAUGGUUGAUGCACUUGCCGGCGAAUUCCAUUUCUUCUUGGUCGGACUUGGGCCAUGAGUUCGUUGGCGCCUUCACCGGAGGCCACCAAGCUCAUGGCCAGGCAAGCGAUUUGCAUAUCAUCCCCCAGAAGGAAGGUGAAACCCUGCGCAAGUACAUAUAGAGGUUCAGCCGGGUGCAGUACAACAUCCCAGAUGUUCAUCCCACCGCCGUGAUCAGCGAAUUUCAUCAGAAUCUAUGCAAUCGCAAGAUGCGUGAAGAGCUGGCGAUGAACAAGGUCAAAGAUGUGGCCGAACUUUACAUUCUGGCCAAUAGGUGCGCCCGAUCUGAAGAGGGGAGGAAGUACCCCGGCGAGGACGCCGGUGUGGAAACCGACUCCACAGACGAAGACACAGCCACCCCGACGAAGAGGCAGUAGCAACGGCAGAACUGGCAGAUGGCAAGGUAAGGCCCCCGACAGAGUCUCACGCUGGCGGGACAGAGCCUGCGCAACCAAACGAAGUGGUGCAGAAGAAGAAAAUGAUGCAGCACCCGGUUUACCUUGUCAGCUCCCUCUUGCAAGGGGCUAGGUCAAGGUACUCCGGUGUGCAGAAAUUGCUCUUCGGCCUCCUUAUGGCCUCGAGGAAGCUACGUCAUUACUUCCAAGCACACGAAAUCACCAUCGUCACCCGCCUCCCGUUGCAACGGAUAUUGCAUAACCCAGACGCAACCGGGAGGAUUGUGAAGUGGGCCAUGGAACUGUGAAGCUUUGGUUUGAAGUUUGAAAGUACUUCGACAAUCCAGAGCAGAGUCUUGGCAGAGUUCAUUUCCGAGUGGACCUCAACGCCCGACGAAGAGAUCCAGGAGACCACCCUCCGCGGCAAGGAGGCAAGUUGCAACUGGAUUAUGUACUUUGACAGGGCUUUCUCGCUACAAGGCGCCGGUGCUGGUGUGUUGAUCAUUGCACCCACCGGAGAGCACCUCAAGUAUGUAAUCCAGAUGCACUUUCCUAGGAAGAUGUCCACGAACAACACUGUUGAAUACAAGGGGUUGCUUGUUGGUCUCAGGAUCGCAGCAGACCUCGGGAUCAAGAAGCUCAUCGUCAGGGGUGAUUCACAGCUUGUCGUCAGGCUAGUCAACAAAGAUUAUCAAAGCCCGUUGAUGGAGGCCUACGUAGAUGAGGUGAGGAAGCUGGAGGAGCGUUUUGACGGUAUACUGGCGCAGCAUGUUCCCCGAGUGGAGAACGACGUCGCCGACUACCUGUCGAAACACGCCGCCUUCAAACUACAUGUGGAACCAGGUACCUUUGUGCUUCGGUUGACUCAACCAUCUGUUGAACCAUCAACAGAGCAAAACAAGCGAAGGAAAUCAGGCCCCGACAAGUACUUUCCCGCAGAGCUCCCGAGAGCGGCCGACAAAGAUGUUACCGUGGAUGUUGAGCCUACCAUGGGACAACCGACUUCGGCGGGGCGUCAAGCCCUGGCUGUAGAGACAACCGCUCCCAUUGCAGAGGAAAUGCCUUUAGUCCUUGUCGUCGAGCCUCAGGCUCUGCAAUGGGCACAGCAUACCGUCCAAUUCCUCCAAACAGGGGAACUCCCUGAGGAGCAGGAAGAAGCGGAGAACGUAGCCUGUCAGUCUGCCAUGUAUCAGUUCGUCGACGACGUCCUGUACAGAAAAAGACCAAACGGUGUGAAAUUGAAGUGCAUUCCCUGGGAGGAAGGACUGGAGCUGUUGGCAGAGAUACACGGAGGCAUAUGUGGCUCCCACAUAGGGUCGAGGGCCCUUGUCGGCAAGGUUUCUUCUGGCCCACUGCCGUCCAGGAUGAAACGGCACUAGUAACCAAGUGUGAAGCGUGUCAAUUCCAUUCGAAGAAGCUUCAUUAACCAGCUCAAUCCCUUCAAACAAUUCCUCUCUUCUAGCCAUUUUCGGUCUAGGGGCUCGACAUACUGGGCCCCUUCCUACGUGAUGUCGGGGGCUUUGAGUACUUGUACGUUGCAAUCAACAAGUUCACAAAGUGGCCGGAGGUGGAAGCAGUAAGGAAGGUGACAGAGCAAUCAGCCGCCAAGUUCUUCAAGGGGCUAGUCUGCCGUUUUGGUGUGCCAAACAGAGUCAUCACCGGCAAUGGCACGCAGUUUACAAGCUACACCUUCAUGCAAUACAUCCAGGACCUCGUCAACAACGUCUGUUUUGCUUCCGUGACACACCCACGGAGCAACGGCCAGGAGGAGAGGGCAAAUGCUAAAGUACUACGAGGCCUGAGGACAAAGACUUUUGACAGGCUGCACAAGAGCGGGAGGCACUGGAUUGAUGAGUUGCCGGCGGUUCUUUGGUCAAUCAGAACGACGCCAAAUUGAGCCACCGGCUAGACACCCUUUGCCCUGGUAUACGGGGCAGAAGCAGUUCUCCCCACGGAACUCACGUACGGGUCACCUCGAGUGCUCUCUUAUGACAAGCUUGAGCAAGAGCAGUUGCGGCAAGAUAACGCAACGCUCCUUGAGGAAGAUCGUCUUCGGGCGGCUGUGAGAGCAGCGCGCUACCAGCAAGCCUUGCGCCGCUACCAUAGCAGCAAGGUUCAUGCCUAAAGCUUUGAGGAAGGCGACCUUGUUCUUCGGUGCGUUCAAUCAGCCAAAAAUUCCAACAAGUUGAUGCCGAAGUGGGAAGGCCCUUAUCGGGUAAUACGAGUCACCAGGCCCGGCGCAGUCCGCCUGGAGACCGAAGAUGCUAUUCCAGUGAGCAACUCCUGAAACAUCGAACAUCUUCGCAAGUUUUACCCAUAAGGCGCGGUUGUCACCCCCCCCCCCGGCAAGCCACCUUUUGUACAGGCCUUGCCAGCAAGGCAUGUAACCCUCUAUACAAAGCCAGGCGCAGACCCUAUGCCUAAAUAAAUGAAGCGCUGGCGCCCUAAGUUUUAGCAUGCAUGCUAGGUUGAGUCUCUCCCUCGGUUAGGGUUAAUAGUGCUUAGCGGUGGCUAACCCCUAGCAUAGAGGUCGAGUGUGCAUCUCUCUCUAUUCCUUUCCUUCCUCUUUGGUUCGCAGGGUACAUGAACAUUUUUGCUGAGCUAUUUGGAAGAAAGAGAACAGGCCGACGCCCCGACCCCGACAAGCCAAGGUUGCCGGGGGCUGUAGGUCUAAGGAUCCAAUCACGGCAAGCCAAGGUUGCCGAGGGCUGCAACAUCAGAUAAGUGUUUCUCCCCCACUCUGUGCCCCCGUAUGAACCUUGAACUUAUAAGGCUUCACUCGCUCUUGUACCAUCUUGCUCCCUCUGUCCCGUGUCCGAAAACCUUAUUUUGGGCCGGAACUUGGUUGUAGUGCAAUGGGAAGAGGGCGAGCGAAGGGCCUAAUCCUACUCGGCCCCUACCUCCGCCAAGGGCGUGAGUGUAGCUGAGCCAUAGAGCAGGAGGACGGGAAGGCCUGUUGCCGGGAUACAAUGUUUAUCUUAAGAUAACGAGGACGCGUUCCUCGGUGUGGCCCUCGCCCACGCGCAAACAAAACCCGGCAAACACCCUUCUUUUCAUUCAUACAUUGUAAACAAGUACAAUUCAUACGAAAUGAGUACACGAGCGAGGGGAAUACAAAGUCUAAAUUUUACCAAGGCCCGUAGGCUUACAAACUAAAAAAAGAUAAGUGCCCCGUGAUCCCCGUUCUUGCCCUUUUCCUCCCAGGUGCAGCAGGUGAAGGCAAAAGAGGGGCGAUGGGGAAUGCCCCGAUGGAGAGCUGGACGAGGAAGGCCCUCGACAGGGCACGUGGCCAAGGGAGGAGCGGCAUGGUCAGUCAGAGUCGGAGUCGGUGUUCCCCCACUCGACACCCUUGUCUUCAUUGUUGAUGUCCUCCUCGUCACUCCCUCUUGAGGAAGAGUCUUCGUCAUCGGAGGAGCUCUCCACGCAGCACUUUAGGCGAGUUCCAGAGUCUCCAAAGACCUUGACGGAGAGCAGGCCGUUCUCCAUUAAUUUGAAAUAGAGAACAAGCUGCCGUCAGGCUAUGGGUACAAGCAAAAGUCUUCCAUCCGCGAUGAAGGUACAUGACGUGAGGGGCAGGAAAGUCGACGUCAACCCGCAUGCCGCCGUUCCCGCAGCCCCUCAUAUGCAACCUUAGGGUCUGGGGAGGAUCGAGCUCCAUCUCCCGAGCGAAUGGAGCAGGGAGACGAAGGCGACGGUGCUGUGGCAAGUGCAGCCUGAUGAAGAACUCACGAGGCUGGUCCCCGACGUGGCCCUCCAUUGGGGGAGGCAUCGCUGGCGGAGGUAAGGCCGGAGCGCUGCCCCGUCCCCCUCUUCCCCAAGCUCCACGCCGACCUCGGCCUCGCCCCCUCCCCCUUACUCUCAUGGCUGGCUCUGCCGCCGCGAGCUCUUGGGAAGGAGGGACGCGCUGUCGAGCAGAGACCCUCGCCGCCACCGUCGAAGGGCCGGCGCCCCCUUUCGCCAUGGCAGAUGAAGGAACGGAGCUGAGGUGGAAGGAGAUGGAUGGUGAAAGAUUGUGGGAUGACAUCCCCCUCCCCCUUCUUAUAAAGGGGCAGGGUCGGGGCUCGGCCGCCCCACUCAGCCAAUCCGCCCAUCAGGGGCGCAGGGAAUCGAGACCGACCCGCUGCUCAAAUCAGCGACGGUCCAGUUUCUCNNNNNNNNNNNNNNNNNNNNNNNNNNNNNNNNNNNNNNNNNNNNNNNNNNNNNNNNNNNNNNNNNNNNNNNNNNNNNNNNNNNNNNNNNNNNNNNNNNNNNNNNNNNNNNNNNNNNNNNNNNNNNNNNNNNNNNNNNNNNNNNNNNNNNNNNNNNNNNNNNNNNNNNNNNNNNNNNNNNNNNNNNNNNNNNNNNNNNNNNNNNNNNNNNNNNNNNNNNNNNNNNNNNNNNNNNNNNNNNNNNNNNNNNNNNNNNNNNNNNNNNNNNNNNNNNNNNNNUGCCACCUUGGAGGCAUGGGGGACAUGUGGCGAGCAAGCAGAAAUCAAGGGGACGGGUGAAGUGACCGUUCUCCACCCUGUCAUCGUGGGGCGCGGGCGCGUUGAAGACCACGACCCGAGUCCACUUAGUAAAUGAGCCGCGCCUCUGCGUUUUCCUCUUUUUAUGGGGAAGGCACAUGCUGCCUCUUUACCAUUUACUGCGACAUGACGCAUGCGUGCGGAAAUCGCCCCACGCAGGACCCCCACGUCACGCAUGACCCUCCACGUCGCGCGUUCAACAUGGGUCAUGGGGAAGCGCAGCGAGCGAAGGAGUUACUACAAGUAAAAAUCUGCCCCGCCUGCCCGCGCACCAUUCUGGACCUGGCCCAACAACACGUCGCACUUAUGUGUGGCCCAGACCCGGGGGCUCCUGUCGGUGUACAAAAGUAUGGGAUUUCCUUUGUACCCCUUUACUUGUGCAUGGGCAGUCAAAGCCACGCCCGCGACCACACUGAGCAGGGCAAAGGAGGGAAGCCGGAGCAUGAGGCAACCGAACCAACGCCAAGGCCAGAGGCACAGAUAGAAAGAGGGCGAGGUGGACUCCCCCGGCAAUGCCCUUGCCGGGGCGGCCUCCGCAGCCCCGGCAAAAGCCUUGCCGGGCAACUUGCCCAAUGCCAGCAGAACACGCCGCCCUUGAGCCAAGGGGUUCCAACGCCAUCACCCACAUCGGAACCAAGGCUCGGGAGGCACCUCCAUGGUGGCAUGCAGAUCUUUGUGGAAAUCAUAAAUACACAAGAUCAGAUGAGGACUAGAAGAUGACGAUCCUUGGCAAGAUCCUUGCCAAGGAAAUCCAUGAGACCCCGGCAAGAUCCUUGUCGGGGACGACCGCGGUGCCACGGCAAGACCCUUGUCGGGCCCCCCGGCAAGACCCUUGCCGAGGACAUCUGUGGGGCCGCAUCCAGGCCCACAUCUGCCAAGACUCCACCACCACUCCCAUACAGCUGCUAGCUCAACCAGCUGGGCAGGCAUCUGCGUGGUAGCGUGCGGCCUCUACACUGACCCAGCAAGCACCUGUGCGGUGGCAUGUAGAUCUUCGUGAAGACUCCGCCACCACACCGGCCCAACAGCCAGCCAACAUGGCGCUACAACACCUCGUCAUCUCGGACGCAUGUCGGGGCCAGGCGAGGCGGCAAUAGCUGGGACGAGCUUCCUUGCCGUCCCCGAUAAAGCAAGAGGGGCACGUCGGCAGCGCAUUAAAUGUGUUUGUCCGACAGUGCAGACGAUAGACUCAGCCACUAUACACCUUUCCACCUCAUGUGUGCCACUGUGGCGACCCCUUUUUGGCUAUAAAAGGAGGCCUGAGGCGUACUGGAGAGGGAUUCGGAUCUUUGGAACUAGACACACACCAUAGCUAGUUCAAGAACUCAAGAACACUCUAAUAUACGUCAAAGUGGGACUAGGGUUUUACACGUCUCCAUGGCCCGAACCUGGGUUAACAGUCCUUGUGCUGACCACCAGACCCGCUCUUUGCACAACCCCGUGCCUGCCAACCGUAGAAGGGAUCCCAGUGAUUCCAUAGGUGUUGUUUCCAUCGACAAUAGUCUAGGGAUAUGUGUAUGUUACUAGUGUACUACUCUCCAUUGUGGCUAGUCUCAUACUCCCUCCUUUCCGGUUUAGGCUGGUUGUAAUGGUAUUAUCAUAAGUGGUAUCAUGCAUGCCAACUAGACUUUCUGGAUGAUGUGGCACACAAGAGAGGAUGUGGUAUCAUAUCAUGAUACCGUGUCAUAUUAAAUGUUGUACUACUACUUUGUGUGAUGCAUGACAAUUAGUAAGGCAACCUAAGAUGUUAACUUAUGAUACUAUGCAUUACGGAAGUAGUAUCCUAGCUACACUAUCAUAUAUAUGCAUGCAUGAUACUACUAGUAUAUAUAAUAUUCCCCAUUACAACCAGCCUUAUAGGGCUCAAUUCAUAAAUACGGUCAUCUAUGAUAUAUACUCCCUCCGUAAACUAAUAUAGGAGUGUUUAGGUCACUACUUAGUAAUCGAAACGCUCUUACAUUAGUUUACAGAGGGAGCUAGUACUACUCUAUGAUACUAUAUAUGCACUAUGAAGGUACGUACAUAGUACCAUACACUAGUAUCAUAUGCAUGAUACUAUAUAUAUAUAUAUAUAUAUAUAUAUAUAUAUAUAUAUAUAUAUAUAUAUAUAUGAAACUCCCCACUAUAUAAGGCUGGCCAUAGUGGCCGACGAUGUCAUACACUCGGAAAUAGCAAGUAUGCUGAUGUGACAAAGAAUUAAAUAUAUAUAGAGAGGGUUAGAGUAACAUAUAGUAGGUAGAUACCGUAUCAUGUUAAAUGCGAUGCUAAUUUGUGUCAUGCAUGGCAAUAAAUAUGAUAUAUAUAUAUGAUACUAUACUCUCUGUAUUAUACUAUAUGCUAUAAUUAAUUAAAGGUAGUAUCAUACACUAGUAUCAUAUGUAUUGUAUAUUCAUGAUACUAGUAUAUGACACUCUCCACUAUACUUAUGAUUUCUUACCAUGGAAAAAACUUGGAGGCGAAACGAUGAACUCAUGUUUUCAUUCAAACAAAAAUAUGAUGUUGGGUAAUGUAAAUGUUUUCAAAGAGCACAUGGUUCACUCAUGAAAGCCGUGUGUCCACUAAACCAUGGCCAAUGCACCCCCCACCCCUCUGCCACGUGUGCGAUCUGAGUUGUGCGUUCUAAUUGGCUAGAACCCAAACCCCACUGAUCGUACGUCUGCACCAUUGGAUUCUCCUUGAUCGAACGGCGAUCCUCAUCCCUUUCGACAACACAUGUACAUGUUUUCAAAUAGCCUCUCCCCAAAAAAUGUUUUAAAAUAGCACACGGUUCACACACGUAAGCCGUGUGCCUACCAAACCGUGGCCGAUGCCCCCCAUCGCUGCGCGCGCGAUCUGAGUCGUGUGUUCUGAUUGGCCAGAACCCAAACCCCACGGAUUGUACAUCUGCACCGUUGGAUGCUCCCAGAUCGAAAGGCAAUCCUCAGCCCUUUCGAUAGGAAAUGCAGUCCGGCUAGGAAUUGAUUUAUAUGCCAACAUGCACGGUAAAUGCCAAAAAUGUCUUACAUAUAGCACACGAGACCUGAAAUGCACCAGCAAAUCAAACCCGUGGUAAAAUUGUGAUUGGUUUACGUGCGAAAAAUUUAGAGGAGAAAUGAUGAACUCACGUCUUCAUUUCAAAAUUAGUACGUCUUCAUUUCAAACGAAAUUAUUCUGUUUGUGCACACGAGCGCUUAGAGGCAACCGUUUGCAUAGGCCUUUCUGCGCUCGGCAACCGGGGAUAUUUUUCACCCUUUUCACCUAGGCCGUAACACCCCUCCCCCCACCGUCCGCCCACGUUUCACUCAACUAGUCCACCCAAUCUCCUUCGCCAGCUCCCCCCUCCCCCAGAUCCACAACAGAACCCUCUCCAGUGCCGCCAUGCUCACCCCAGCCGUGUGCCCGCUCUUCGGCGUGAAGCCUACCUCCACUGUCGUUCCCAACACGCGGCGGCCCGCGCCUCGCCAUCUUUGUUUGCUCGCCAUCCACCCUCGAGCAAAUCGAUGCCGUAACCCUCGCCUCUCCUCUGGUCCGGCCGGAUUUGCAUUAAGAAGCCUGUUAGUUACUGCUCUCCAUCACGGUGAGGCAUAUUUCCUCGCAAUCCCUUUUCCAAUUUUGUUCUGUAUGUUCCCAAAUUGGCUAUAAAUAAUGGAGAGCAUAUAUAUGUUCAUUAUCUACCUUCCUUACUACAUAUAAGUUGUAUUUGUUCAAAUAAGUUACUGCCUAUUUGCAGAUCGCGAGCACCCGAGUCACACAAACUUAACAAAUUAGUCGUACAUUUUCUAAAUUAUUGCAUGGCAUGUUUAGAAACCUUGAUACCAAGUUGUUAGUUUUCUGCUUAUCCUCCUUUCCUGAGUUUUGCAUGUGUUCUCUGUAGAUGCCGAGUAGCAGCGACAACACUCAUUCAGGCCAUGUAUCUUCAUCUGAUUCGGACAACCCUAGGUCUUCAGCAGAUUGUAAGGGAUCAAGUAGUCUUGAACAGGCUAGAGCUGCAGCAAUUACCCUUCCGGUCAGGACAUGGAGGAACGCUCCAAGGAAGCCCACACACCAGCCUAAAGGUGUAUAUGAAGUAACCGAGAUUGAUUUAAAGUCCUGGGCUCCAACUAAACCAGAUAAAGCACGCUUGAGGUUCAGGAGUGUGUGUGGAUUUGUUGGCAGGGCCAACAUUAAUCUUUCGAGGUUUCAGAAGGCUGACACGGAAACACGACGAAGGAUAGUCUGGGAGAUCAUGGAUCACUUCAACGUUCCAAAGCAAUGGAGAAUGCAGGUGGAACACGCUGCACUGAAGAAGGCUAGGGAUGCUUGGAGAAACUGGAAGCACGUGAUGUACAAGAAGUACUUGACUGAAGGCAAGGACCCAAUUCCUACAUACCCCCAAAUUACAAAGGCAGAUUGGGCAUAAUUCAAAAGGGUCAGGGCAACUCCAGAGUUUGCUGCGAAGAGUAUCAAGCAAACGGAACUUCAGAAGAAGAACAUACACCCCCACCGUAUGGGUGUGGCAGGAUACUACGGCAUGAAACUGAUAUGGGAACAUGAGGGCAAAGAAGCAGUAGCGGCAGGUGGGAAUCCGGCCUUUAGUGAAAUCAAGGGCGAACGCGCCAGAGACUACUUGCGGGCACGUGCAAAGAGGCGUGAUGAUAGAACUUAUUACUUUGAAAACGCACGUGAUGCCAAACUGUAUGAAGUGAUGGUAGAGGCUUCCAAGAUCCCUAGAAGGUUCUACAUGAACUCAGGGCCAUGUGACAUUCUGUCCAUUGCUCUGGACACAAAAGAGCCCCCUGGCCGUGCAAGGGUAUAGGUGUUAAUGUCCCGCACAAGAGGGCUUUCACACUCAGCAAAGAAGAGAGGCUCAGCAUGAAAAAAAUGAGGAGUAAAAUGAAGCAGAAUGCAUUGUUUGAAAAGUUAAAGAAGGAGAUUUAUCCGGCUGUUCGAAAGGAUGUUGAGGAGUCAAUGAUGAUGUAGAAGACUCUAACAUUGACAAAUAGCCAGCAGAUGGGAGGGGAGGCGGGCAUGGAUGAUGUUUCUUAUUGCGUGACAACACUGCACAAGGGUAGCUGUGCAUUAGCUGACCCCAGCAACACUGAGACUGCAGCUGCUCGUGAUGAUGCUAUAUCUGAUCUAUCUGGAAUGAAAGACAGACUGAAGGGCGUGCUUACACAUUAUGAAGGUACAUUAAAUUGUGCAACAGCCUGGGUUUGCCCACCCUUCUUGGAAGGUGGCUUCUUCUUGGACAAUGUGCCAUUGAAGCCGGGCUGUGUGAAGUGCUACGUGACUGAAGUAAAGUCUGGAUUCAACGAAUUUGCUUUGAAGAAUGUCCUAGGAGACUUCGAUAAGCAAAGGACCUUGGGAGAAACACUGUUACAUCACAUCCAGUGGCCACGAAAGGAAACGGAGUUCAUUGAUGAGAUUCCUGAAGCCCCGCCAAGAGAAACCACUGUCGCCCCUCAACCCGUGACGCUCUCCUUGCCCGAGCAGCUCUCGCGGGCUGAUGCAUCAACCUGUGAUCAGCCGGACCGACUUUGUGGCGUACAGGCCAUGUCAUCCUCCACCCCAAAGCAGCCAGUGGAAAGGCCUACAACUGCUGAUGACGCACCACCGAUUCAUAUGCCGGCCACUGAAGCAGCGGGAGGAGACCCAGCUGCAGCAAAUGCUCAGCAGACCAACCUGGUGGAACAGACUGCUAAGCAGUCUGAUGCUUCGGAACCGCCUGCUAAGAAAUCUGUAGGUCCAGAACUGACUGCUCAUCAGUCCGUCGGUUCGCAGGUGCAUGAUUAGCAUACCAAUGCGUCAGCACUUCCUGCUCAGCAAACCAACGCGAUUGCACAGCCUCCUCAGCACACCGACAAGUUGGCACCACAUGCGCAGAAACCUGACAUAGCUUCAACGCAUGGUCAGCAGUCUGAUGCCUCUGCUCCUACAGCCCAGCAGUCCAUCACAACAGCACCGCCAGCUCAGCGGUCCGGCAUAGAUAAACCGUCUGCUAAGCAGUCCGUCCAAGCUUCAUCAUCUGCUCGGCAGUCUAUCGUGCAGGCAACCAGACGUUCUGCCAGAAAUGCUUCAAGUACCAAGAAGGAAGUGGCCAAAAAGGCUACACCCACGACCACGAGGAAGCGCAGCGGGAGAGUGAAGAGGAAAGAGAACGAUUGCCUCUUACUUAAAGCACUCAUCGCCCAGAACCAAAUUAACAGCAGAUUGUUCGAAUCAGGGAGUAAUAUUAUUUUUGACGCCAUGGGUGAUGAAGAAGUAUGUUUGUUGCUUGCUAAAAAUAAAGCAGUCAUACUUGAAGCACGCAAUUACGUCCAUGGUCAGCCAUUUCUUAUUGGCGAAUACUUUGAUGAGUGCAGCUCCAGUUGCCGCGAGUUACAUCAAUAUUGCAUGGAUCAAAUGUCAGAAGGUCAUCACCAUUUGCUAGUCCACUACAACAGAGAUCAUUUCCGACACGAUGCUGGUUCCAUCAUUGUGAGUUUCGAGGACUUACAUCUCUUCUUCAACUUCAACGUGCUCGAUGCCACUCUUGUUAGAUGCGUGAUUUUUGAAGUACUUAGCAAACUCUGAUCAAAUUCUCCAUACAAGGUUGUAAAUGAUAAAUAGCUAACUGCAUUUUAUUCCUCUCAAGGGAUUGAACGUGCAGAGAAGACAAAGUGAGAAUGUGUAUUUCAUAGAUCCUGCAUUAGCAAAUGGCACAACAUUACAUGAAAAGGACCGAUGGGACUGGGCCGUUAACAUGGUCAUCCGUAUCUUCAAAAACACGUCUCAUGCAGAAUCAUUUCUCUAGACAUAUCAUGAAUGGUAAGUCAAGUAAACAACCACGCAUACACUAAUUGUCUUUCAUAUUUCAACAUCAUUCGUAAAUUCAUGGCUUUCUUAAUAUGUAGCAAUCACUGGAUAUUGGUAUUCAUUGUUCCAAACAAGAACACAGUUUACUACAUCGAUUCUCUCAGAGAGUUAACAAACGCUCAGGAUCUGACACAUCUUCAGCAAUUCUUGGAUAGGUAUUGAAUUCUAUGAUGUUGAAAUUAAUUUGCAUUCAUAUCUGGUUCAAUAAUUGAUGUUGUCAAAAUUCAUCAUCAUUUGCAGUGUGCUCGCAUUGUGGGAAACUAAAAUAGGGAACCUGUUCAAGAGGAAACUACCUCUGCAGCACGAGAUUGUUUCUCCGGUAACACACCGAAAUCCAUUAUUUUCGAAAAAUUUAUCCAACAGUCUGCAAAUACCUUUCCUUACGCUAAUCAAAUGUUCAAGCUUCUAAAUAAACCUCUUUCUAUUUUGUCCAGAGAAAAAAAUAAUACAUCUAACACCGGUUAGAUUGUUCCUAACAGGACAAAUACAUGACUAAUUUUGUACAAAAAAUUUCAGUGUCCUCAGCAAGAAGCAGGAACCAACCUUUGUGGAUAUUAUGUUUGCAGACACACGAUCUCCAUCUACAAAUUUGUUGAUAGUUGUGACGAUCCUUACGAAUUAGUACCAGUAAGUCUAUCUUAAUUAAUAUCUUCUACUCCACUCUUAUGGCACAUUCUGAUCUUAAAAAUACUGCAGCUCAUCUUAAAAUCGAGGACCCAUGAACCGCUCCCGGCUGGUGAAUUGCUGAUGGUUCAGAGAUUUAUCAGCGACUUCUUCCUGGAUCACUACAUCAAUCCCACUGGUGAUAAUGAAAAUUUCAGCAUGCGUUCUCCUGAAACAUUGAGUAAGAGUUAUCCGCUAAACAUAUAACGCAUGGACCCAUUGUUUUCCAUCUGAUGAGGUCUUCCUAUUUUGUACACUAUGAUUAAUUAUGUAAUGCAUAUAUGUGUGGCCAAAUCAUUGGAAUUUAGCUACCAUAUGUUCAAUUGCAAUUGCUGCGAAAUCUGAUGAAUGUUCUUCCUGUGGACACUAUUUGUUCAAUUGAAUAUUGUGGUGAAUUUGCUUUUUGCGUGCGAUUCAAAAUGGGAUAUUUUUGUUUAUUUGUUCAAUUGAAUAUUGUGGCAAAUUUGCUUUUUGCGUGUUGAUUCAAAAUGGGAUAUUUUUGUUUUAACCUGGCAAUUGCUCCGCACAUGGUUCAACUAAAUGAGUGUGUGCGAUCCACAUCGAAAAGCAUACGUCAAUCGUAGCGGAACCGUCGGUGAUACACAGCAGAUCGCAAACGAUUUGCAAUGCUACUACGUGUGCAUAGGUUCUCUGGAACCGCUUGUGAUAUCGCGUUAUCGCACACGAGAACUGGGAGUAAACCGUGCCCAAUGCAAAAUACAAUCCCAGUCGUAUUUUGUUAGGAAACGUGUGGGAUCCCAAACGAAAAGCACAUGUCACUCUUACGGCAACCGUCAGUGAUACCUAACAAAUCACAAACAGUCUGCAGCACUUGUAUGUGUGUGAAGGGGCUCCUGAACCGUUUGUGAUAGAACAUUAUCACAGACGGUAAUUGUUGGAAAACAUGUGCAAUGGAGUCUAGCAUGGCAGACGGGUUACGCAAAAAACUCAUGUGCGACAGGGCACAAAUCGCACACAGUUCAUAUGUUGGCCCGUGUGCCUUACAUACUGUUUCCCAAACGGUUCGUUACGACAGACCUUAUGGUUUCACUGCGUCAUUAGAAACGCUUAAUCACCGAUACCACACGUGCGAAAGAAUUUAGUGUGUGCUGCAUCACACACGAUUACAUUUUGGAAGGCCUCUGGAUCACUGUUCCAUAUCCCCGACGGUUUCUGGGUCGUGUGGGAAGGACUCCCUAUCGCACACAAUCACUUGGCGACGGUUCCGAGGCCGUCACGGAAAGGGGUUAAAAAUCGUUUGUUUAGGAUCGACGCGCACCAGUGCUCCCUCCCAACGUCUCCAUUAAUGGCGCCCAAGGCCAUAUUCUACGGCGUGACUAUACUCACUGGACUGAGAUUUAAGAGAGAAAAUGAAAAUCUGAAAAGAAAGUUUGCAUGGGUCUUGAUGUAAGAUCCGAUGGACCUAUAUAGCAUCCACUGCGACUUAUAGCAAGCAUGCUGAAUAUAAAGGACGAUGAUAGUGGAUAAUAAUUGUCUUACAUAUUUAGGAACAUAAUUAAAAUCCCCGCAAAAAAGGAACAUAAUUAAAAAAAGCCACAUGCGGCAACACCCGAAAUACACAAGGGCAAAAGAAGAAGGAAGACAACGAUCUGGCUCGUUGAUCUCUACUUUCUUGAUGCAUUGCUGCAGGCUGUAGGAACUAGUCUGUGAGGCGAGCGGCGAUGAGCUCUUUCUUGUCCUCAAGAUGCUGCUUGAGAGCAUCCACGGAUUCCUCCACCAGCCUUCUGCGCUUGAUGCACAGCAUGGCAUCCUCGUCCAUAAAUUUCUCGACGAUGAUGUCGGCCCUCUUCAACAAGGCAGUGGUCUCCUCUUGCUACUCCGCACUUCCAACGAUCUUCGCCCUCAGCAGGUCACCCUCGGCCCGGAGCUUCGCAUUGCUCCCAUUUAGUUGCUGGAUGACACCGGUAGCCUGUUCAAAAGAGGCUUUCAUGUUGUCCUGCAACCUCGCCCAGCCGGAGAUCUGAUACAUCUGGCCAUGGACGAUCGCAUGCAUGCGCCUGUAAGAGUCCUCGCCUGCCCGCGAGACAUUUUCCCAGGCCACCACAGCGCGGGAGGACAUCUCUGCUGCAUUUGCGGUGCGGCGGGACAUCUCUUCUGCUUCCGCAGCACGGACGGACCAGUCUGCCGCAUCGACGACACAGUGGGACCUGCGUGCUGCUUCGGUGGCGUGGCGGGACCUCUGUGCGGCUACGGCCGCACGGCGGGACAUGCCGGCUGGCUUCACAGCGAGGCGGGACAUCUCUCGUGCUUCCGCUUUCAUGCUCACAUCUCUCUGGUGGUAAUCUCUCGACCCAGAACUCACGCUGGCCAUGGCCGGCGCAAGGGAACGAUCAUGAAUGACUUGUUUGUUUUAGUGGAUGAGGAAUUGAGGAGGAAUGUGCAGUCAUCUUAGAGUAGUUCUCCCUCUGUCCCAUAAUGUAAGACAUUUUUUGACACUACACUAGUGUUAAAAAAUGUCUUACAUUAUGGGAUGGAGAGAGUAGUAUUUAUAACCGAGUACAAAUACGCUCCUAAGUGGGAAGCCGUUUAGGUUUUGAUCGAUGUGAACGGGUUUGCAAUUUGGAAUAUGACGGGACGCAGGCUCAAAAUUUACUGACGGUUAUAAGUGCGGCACUAUUCUCGGAAGGCAUAACGUGGGCACGUAUGUCUUCUUGGCCGCGUACGUGGCGUUUGCACCAUAGGAUGCACCAUAAUAGGUAAUGUCAACACAUGUCUUGUUCCAACAACCGUGCGUGCUUGUGAUUACCAUCGCGCACACUUCUUUUAAUUAGAAUAUGUGUGCACGUGUAGCGCACACACGUUGAUCUAUCUAUCUGUUUCAGUUUGGUGUGGCUAAUCGCAAACAAUUCAUCCGUGUGAAGUGUAUGCCAUCAAUCGCAGACACUUUGAUCUGGCUGACCCAUUUCUGUUCUGUUGCCUAAUCGCAAACAGUUAAUCCUUCUGAAGAGUAUGCCCUCAAUGGCACGCACCUUUAUCUAGCUACCCGUUUCUAUUGUUCCUCCUCAUCACAAACAGUUCAUCGGAGUAAAUCGUAUGCUGCAUAUCACACACGCCGUCAUGUGGCUUCCCGUUUCUUUUGUUCCGCCUCAUCGCAAACAGUUCAUUGAAAUGAACCAUAUGCCCUGCAUCGCACACGCAACUAAAAUCGGAACUGUGUUUGAUGGCUCCGCCAUCGCAAAUGUUUUGCACCUUUUUUGACGGUUCUUUUACACCACCAUUUGUGAUUAUUGCAUCGCACACAGUUUCGUCGAAGGGUCUCUGAUCGUAGUGUCGCAUUAGCAGCAUCCUGCAGUAGUGACAAAGUAAAUCCAAUCAAUAUGAAUAAACUCCAUCAUUUUAUCCUUAAUGACAACGAUACAAAUACAUGUCAUGUCCCCUUCUGUCACUAGGAUUGAGCAUCACAAGAUCGAACCCAUCACAAAACACCUCUCCCGUUGCAAGAUAAAUCAAUCUAGUUGACCAAACCAAACGGAUAGAUCAGAGAGAAAUACAAAGCUAUAACAAUCAUGCAUAAAAGAGUCCAGAGAAGACUCAAAUAAUAUUCAUGGAUAAUCUGAUCAUCAACCAACAAUUCACCGGAUCCCAACAAACACACCGUAAAAAGGAUUACAUCGAAUAGAUCUCCAAGAACAUGGAGGAGAACAUUGUAUUGAAGAUCAAAGAGAGAGAAAAGAAGUCAUCUAGCUACUAGCUAUGGGCCCGUAGGUCCGUGGUAAAGUACUCACACAUCAUCGAAGGGGCAUCAAGGUUUUUGUAGAAGCCCUCCGUGAUCGAUUCCCCCUCCGGCAGACUACUGGAAAAGGCCUCCAGAUAGGAUCUCGCGAGAACAGAAGCUUACGACUGUGGAAUAAGUGUUUUGGGUGGCUCUCUGUUGGUUUCCCGAUUGUAGAGAAUUUAUAGAUGCGGAAUUAGGUCAAAUGGAGCAAUGAGGGGCCCAUGAGGCACCAGGGCGUGCCUACCGCUUCGCCUUAUGACUUCCUCCCGGAGCUUCUAGUGUCUCUUAUGUCCAGAAAAAAGCGUCAAAAAGUUUUGUGACAUUUGGACUUCAUUUGGUACCGAUAUCCUAGAAAAUCAAAAACAUGCAAAAAAACAGCAACUGGCACUUGGCACUAAGUUAAUAGGUUAGUCCCAAAAAAUGAUAUAUAAUUGUAUAUAAAACAUCCAAGAUUGAUACUAUAAUAGCAUGGAACAAUAAAAAAUUAUAGAUACGUUGGAGACGUAUCGGUACACAAGGCCCUUCCACCUCCCAUGGCCUACUCGUCCUCGGAGGAGUCCGCGACUUGCCCGUCGCUGGUGGACGUGAGGUCCACGAUGGAAAUGGUAGCGUCGGCGUUGUCAUCGUCCCACAGGGCCGCCUGAUAGUUCGGCGGUGGCGCGUAGGAGGCACAACUAGCAUUGUUCUCCUCCGCGGUCGCCUGCAACUAGCGUUGUUCUCCUCCAUGAUCGCAUGUAGCUGCGCCUCUGCGGUGGCCGCUCCUUGGCGGGCGGCGACAUGAGCGUGGAUGAUAUCGUAGAUGGCACGCUGCUCCGCGAUGAAGUUGGGGUUCGCCACGGUCAUGGCCGCCACAGCCUCCUCGAUCUAGCCCACUGCUAGCUAGUGCUGCUCCAAGAGGAACAGGUUGUACCGAUGUUCGUCUUGCGCUUGCUGGAACGCCGACAAAGUUGCUGCUCCAUGGCGGUGUUGUAGUGCGCUUGUGCUUGCUCCAUGGUGAACCCGACAUGCACAGCAGGCGCGGCAGCCGAGGCGGUAUCGUCGGAGCCCGUCUCCAUCGUGGGGUCGUCCUCGUCCUCGAAGACCUCGGGCGAUCCGGUCGGCAAGCCGGCCCUAAUCUGCUUGGCAUGGCAACUCUGCCAGGUGGCAACAAGGGCGGCCAGCGCGUGCUUCAUCUCAGUGGAAAGACUCUCCCACAGAGCUUCGUCGCCUGCAGUCAUGGCAGGUGCAGUGCAAGGGAGGAGGAUGUGGAGCGGCUUGUGUUGUGGAGUGGAUGGACGGGUGUGGCCGCCUUUAAAUAGCGGAUUCCUGCAAGGCCAUGCAUCCGGGUGCAUCAAUGCGCGAUGCCGGAGUGGAUUUCUCGGCCGGCGAGCCUGCUUAAUGGUAGCAUAUGAAAGGACGGAGCAUUCAACGGCCGUGGUAGAUAUCCGUCCUGUCCUAUACAGUCACACGUCUACGGCAUUGAACAGGUGCCGACACCAGAGACGCGUCGCGGGCGGCAUCCUCGGCCGACGCGCCGCUUCAAUGGUCGAGGCAGUGAGAGGUCGCGUCCGUCCUGAAUAAUUUUUAAUGUGGAGCGGUGCGCUCUACAGCGGCAUGAAUGCGGGCAGCUGGCGCCGAAAAGGAACGCACGUAGGGGAGGGAGGAGGGCUUUGGGUGGGCCAGGGCGGCCAGAAGCGGGCUUGGCAGUGGUCUGGAUUCCGGCAAAGCCUCCACGUUUGUCUCCGGUUUGCGGAAAAUACGUCUAGACCACGCUGUGGACCGAUACAUGACCGUGCUGGAUGAAUUUCGUGGUCCGAACCGCUCGUCGUAUGUGGAUGGUUUGCGGGUCGGCAUUGGAGAUGCCCUAACACCGUUUCAAUAUAUUUCAUUUCUGAUAAAUUCGCAGAAAUAAUCUAUCUUUGUUUUGAACUGAUUUAUCUAGCAGUUUGCCGCAAAUAAAAACAAAAAAGCAAGCACACGCAGUUGCACGGGUGAAUGAUCAGUUUUAAAAAUUACUAGUAGUUUGUUUAUCUUUUUAUAAAAGCUUAUUUUCACGUGGUGAUGCCCAGCCCUAUCUUGACCAUGACACCAAACGAGCUCUAUGGAGUUACGAUGUCGCCAAAAUGAGCUCAUCCUGUCAACGUUCCGCGCACAAGUCGCCCCACAGGGUGCCAGGUCACUCUGCAAACCUUGUUAAAACACCAGACCCACGUACACGAUGUUCUCCGGGCAGGAACAGAGCUCCAGCGCAAGGGCAAGGCUUCGCCAUGGCUAGCUACGUUCCUCACAUCUGGCUCCCGCGACGGCCGUGGAGCAGCAGCUGCACCAGUUCAUAUCUCGCGCUUCGAAUUUCUACACGAGAAUCACAGGUACACAUACAUACUGGACUAUAUUCUUUUACCGAAUGCUCUUUUCUGUUCCGUACUUCCGUACAUGUGUUAAUUUUGUAGAGAACUAAGUAGUAGUGGUAUCAGUAUGGCAGUCCGGCUGCAUGGAGUAGUCUCGGAGAUCCUCUUCCCAUUCCUCCGCCCAGCUAGCCGUCACAUGAUUGACCCCUUCCCCCACAGUGCCUGAAAUUCUGACUUGGGGCUGAGAGCAGAUGCUUACGGGGUUAAUUUCUCAGUCUUGCUAUUCGAAAGUGCAUCUUGCCAUUUGAAAGUGCAUCUUGAUCUCAUGUAGUCGACCGCGAUACCAUACGGGUAUCGGCGCAAGAAACUGAAACCGGCACCAUUUCAAAAUUACCUCAUGAGAACCUGAAAAUCAACUAGUAUGAUGCAAAUAGUGAUUAGUGAACUAAGAAUUGCAAAAAAAACCCUGAAAAACUGGCGAUAGAAAAUAGGAGAGAAACCUUAGACAGAAAAGGCGAAGAAAAAAAAUAGAAAGGAUAAAUUGGCGUACUGCACUCGCUCGAGGGGAAGGGACGAUUACAGGUAGUUCAAAGUCUGAGGAACAGUUAUGGAGCCGACUUUGGAAGCUGAAUGUUGGGCCGAAAGUGUGGGUUUUGUGGUGUGGCCACACUGAAGCAUCGACACAUCAAAGAGCCGAGCAUGUGUAGUAUUUGCCUCGCAAUGGAGAGAAAUUUGAUACAUGCACUAGUGUCCUGUGAACACGCUAGCGAUUGUGGACUGGAUCAAAACCGGACUUGAUCAAAACCUUCAUUACAAUUGAAGUUGCCAAGGCUGCAUCUUGUUACUUGGGCCAAGGAUUUUUCUUGUGACUAAAUGUUUUCAAAGGAAGACAGAGGACAUCUUUUGGUAAACAUUUGGUCCUUCAAGUCUCAAAACCGGAUAAGUUUGGUCCAAAACCAGAUUUUGACCAUGUGGACCGGAUUUGACCACCUUGACCGGGUUUGACUGAUGAACAAUAAUUCAAAAAAAAUCAAGAAAAUAUGAAAUUUUGUGGUAACCAAGAUGCUUGGGUGUGCUAGGUGCGUGAAAAUUUGUGUGGUGUUUCGACAUGCGAGGAGCUCGUGAAAAAACUACAAAUUUUGGCUCACAAAAAAACUUUUUUUUGCGAGAGCUCCUCGGAUGUUAUUUGACCACAAAAGUUUACAUGCACCUAGCGCACCCAAGCAUCUUGGUUGUCAAAAAAAUUCGUUUUUUUCAAUUUGUUUGCUAUUUUUUAAAAUUUACUAUUCAUUGGUCAAACCUGGUCAACAUGCUCAAAAUCUGGUUUUGGACCAAACCUAUCCGGUUUUAAGACUUGAAGGACCAAAUGUCUACAAAAAAUCUUGAGGGACCAAGUUUAUACUUUUGAGGAACUUGAGUGACCAAAAACAUACAUUUUCCUUAUUAUUAUGUGAGCUAUCUCAUCUUCUAGGAAUCGUUGGACUCAUAACCAGAAGGCCUUCGAUCCACGAGUGACACUGAAGUGACAUUGGUCCAGAACAGUGUUGCGGCCGCUUGAUUCAGGUUGGGUGAAGAUUAAUACUGAUGGAGCCAUAGUAGCUGAUGAGCGCAAGGAGGAGGUGGAUGGGUUGCUGGUUCACAAAUUUCAUAUCUUUGUACUUGGUUUAACCCUAUAUCGGGGUAACGGAUCCUCUCAUCAUAGAGCGGUAGCUCUCCAGGACAGAGUUUAUGUUUGGCAAGUUGUGGGACUUCACCAAGGUAGUAUAAAUACGAACUAUCUUGAGGUGGUCAGCCUCUGAAAUUCUCGCCAUAGUUCUUGGUCAACUGCGUCUCCUAUAUUCUUAAAAAUUGGGGAGUUUGCUUCUGGUUAUUCUUCAUUUGUUAUUCAAAAUGUCCGUAGGACUGGGGACUACAAAUAAGCCGGGUCAUCUUUUUGUGUUAUGCGCUUGCACCAAACAAUAGGAUGUUGUAUGCAAUGAUACUCGUGCAAGUUGCUCAAGUUUGAUCCUCCCAUUUCAAUUGCGAAGGACUAACUUGUAGACUAUGUUCUUCAUGGUCGUUAUUACGAGCUUUUUUAUUUCUUAGUCCAGUCCUUGCUCUUAUCCUUCUCCUUGAUGACGAUAAUCAUUAUGUUUCUCUUUGUGGUGGCUGGGGACAAUGCAACAUAGAGCAGACCAUGAGAGAACACCAUAUCAAAUAGAUACUUGAGACAAUCAGAAGCUGCUUCCUCUUGAAUUUGAAUGAGAACAUGUCGUCGUUGCAGGUCGGAGAAGUAUCCAAGGAAGGACCCCCCCCCCCCUACCGAUGUGUUGUGCUAGCACAAUUUAUGUGUGAGACAUGUCACUCUAAAAACCCAGACAAUAAACCUCGUGUCAUCACACGGUCCAUCAACUUGAUCGCUCAGUGGUAUAACACGACAAUUUAUCUUCAAAGCACAUGUAAAGGUAGCCUGUUGAGAGUCAACGAGUUCAGGAACUCAAGAGCACAAUACUCGUCCUUCGCACUAUCAAAGUUGUGGUAGAUUACCUCUUCACCCGAAAGCGCUUAAUCAUUCAUAUAUUUAUCUCUUCAAUUGUCAUGCUUCUCUAGCACAUGUAGAUGAUACCAUUUCACAUUAAUUUUUACAUAUUCAACAAGCAAAAGUGCACUAAAAUAACUUUGGGCAACCAAGAAAAAAGUUCACAUAUAUCUCUCAAAUGUGCAAUUUCCUCCGGUUAACAAUUCCAUAUACUUGAAAGAAAGUGAAAACACCCUAUAACAUGAGACAAUUCAACAAUACAAAAUUAAAAUGUGUAUUUGUUAGAGUGUGUGUUAUGGGUACACAUAUGAAAUCUUGAUAUCCUCCUCCUGCUCAGUAUGCUUGUGCAUAGAUUUUGAGUGCUCGUUGUUGCUUGAAGAUUUGUAUGAUUGCUUAAGUGUAAACCCAAUGUCAAGAAAAGAGUCUUGCACAAUGUAUAUUUGAUUUGAUUUCUAUUCUUGCUCCAUACUUUUUGUUAAUAUGUCUACGUGCUUUAUAUUAACCAAUUUGAUUUAAACGUCAUGUUGUGGAUGGUAGUAGUAUGUAUAAGAAACCCUUGAAAAUUGUGUUGAUUCUUACAGUUUUCAAUACAACCUAAGUUGUACGUGAUGCAUAAUGAUUGACAUGUAAACUUGGGAUACUUUUUGAACUUGUAACUUCGAGGGAACAUGAGUAGUAAUAUAAAUCUACUCAUCGGGGUUGCGUUAUUUAGACUUGUUUGUGCAACUUUGCAGGCAAUGAGAUAAACCCGAACACCUUAGCUCUAGACGGUGUCAACGUUAUGGAAGAACGCUUAGCAAAUGAGCAAAGUGCUAUAUGCAACUGGUGAUUGGAACUCGAAGGGAUUCGUUCUCAAGGAAACAAGUAAGUACAUUAUUGAUUGCUUUUCGCUCUACUUACCACUUUGAUUGUUGUCGUGCUCUUAGUUAUCUGAAGUAUAUCUCAUGUUUGCAUUGGGUAUAAAUUGGAUCAUAGCUAAUGAAAUUUCAAAAUGAAGAACAACGAUAUACUGGAAAAUUGGCUACCAAUUGGUUGGUUAUGAACUUCCUUUGCCGGCCUCACAACACUUGUUGAUUUUUGGCAAUUUUUGAACUUGCCAAAUGUUGGCAAGCCAAUUUUGGCUCCUAACCAAGUAUGCUUGAAACCCUGAUGCUGGUGAAGGUGGUGUUUAGUGGCAUCGACUAGGGUGAGGGAGACACGAGCUGCCUUGGGGUAGUGUCGAGUGAGGGGCGGCAUGUGGCGGCACCGAGGUGAGGGAAGGACUAGCAUGGUUUGAAGGUGGGUUUGGACGACAUCGGGGUAGGGGUUGGCGGGUUUUUAUGGAGGACCUGGUGACGAUGAUCUUGUCCACAAGCAACCUAGGUGACAAUGAUCUCAUCUACGAGAAGCCUUUUUUUCCUAGGUCCAACUUGAGUUGUGAGGAAAAAAACUAAAGCUAACUUUGUUAUAAAAAACAGCACGAACAAAACAUAUCCGUGUUAGCGUCCCAGGCCCAGCUCCCAACCUAUGUCCCACAUUCGGGCAUUUCUGAUGCGCAUUGGACAAACCACUAUAAGUGGAUGGUCCAUCACAUCCCAUAAGACUAGCCUAAACUGAGUGCGACACUUUCUCUUUUAAGGUGGCACUAGCCCCUGGGUCAUUUGGAUGUUCGGUGCGCAUCAGGCAUACAACUAUAAGCAGAGAGCUCAACACAACCCAACAGACUAGUCUAAAAAGAGUGUGGCACUCUCACUUAUAAGGUUAUCACAGCCUACCUCGUAACGAACUGCGACUAAAGUCACUAACUGUUGGGGAACGUUGCAGAAAACAAAAAUUUUCCUACUCGUUUCACCAAGAUCAUCUAGGAGUUCAUCUAGCAACGAGUGAUUAGAUGCAUCUACAUACCUUUGUAGAUCGCGAGCGGAAGCGUUCAAAAGAACGGUGAUGAUGUAGUCGUACUCGACGUGAUCCAAAUCACCGAUGACCAGCGCCGAACGGACGGCACCUCCGCGUUCAACACACGUACGGAACAGCCACGUCUCCUCCUUCUUGAUCCAGCAAGGGAGGGAGGAGAGGUUGAGGGAGAUGGCACCAGCAGCAGCACGACGGCGUGGUGUUGAUGGAGCUGCAGUACUCCGGCAGAGCUUCGCUAAGCACUAUGGAGGUUGAGGAGGUGUUGGGGAGGGAGAAGGAGGCAACCAAAGGCCGAGGCGUUCAGGUAUGAAGUCCCUCCUCCCCCCCACUAUAUAUAGGGGUGCCAAGGGGGGGUGGCCGGCCCUAGGAGAUCCAAUCUCCUAGGGGGUGCGGCGGCCUAGGGGGGUUUUCCUCCCCCCCAAGGCACCUAGGAGGUGCCUUACCCUCCUAGGACUCUUGCCCCCCUUGAACCCUAGGCGCAUGGGCCUAUGUGGGGCUGGUGCCCUUGGCCCAUUAGGCCAAGGCGCACCCCCACCAGCCCAUGUGGCCCCCCCGGGACAGGUGGACCCACCCGGUGGACCCCCGGGACCCUUCCGGUGGUCCCGGUACAAUACCGAUAACCCCGAAACUUGUCCCGAUGCCCGAAACAGGACUUCCCAUAUAUAAAUCUUUACCUCCGAACCAUUCCGGAACUCCUCGUGACGUCCGGGAUCUCAUCCGGGACUCCGAACAACAUUCGGGUUACUGCAUAUACAUAUCCCUACAACCCUAGCAUAACUGAACCUUAAGUGUGUAGACCCUACGGGUUCGGGAGACAAGCAGACAUGACCGAGACGACUCUCCGGUCAAUAACCAACAGCGGGAUCUGGAUACCCAUGUUGGCUCCCACAUGCUCCACGAUGAUCUCAUCGGAUGAACCACGAUGUCGAGGAUUCAAUCAACCCCGUACGCUAUUCCCUUUGUCUAUCGAUAUGUUACUUGCCCGAGAUUCGAUCGUCGGUAUCCCAAUACCUCGUUCAAUCUCGUUACCGGCAAGUCACUUUACUCGUACUGUAAUGCAUGAUCCCGUGACCAGACACUUGGUCACUCUGAGCUCAUUAUGAUGAUGCAUUACCGAGUGGGCCCAGUGAUACCUCUCCGUCAUACGGAGUGACAAAUCCCAGUCUUGAUCCAUGUCACCCAACAGACACUUUCGGAGAUACCCGUAGUCUACCUUUAUAGUCACCCAGUUACGUUGUGACGUUUGGCAUACCCAAAGCACUCCUACGGUAUCCGGGAGUUACACGAUCUCAUGGUCUAAGGAAAAGAUACUUGACAUUGGAAAACUCUAGCAAACGAACUAUACGAUCUUGUGCUAUGUUUAGGAUUGGGUCUUGUCCAUCACAUCAUUCUCCCAAUGAUGUGAUCUCGUUAUCAAUGACAUCCAGUGUCCAUAGUCAGGAAACCAUGACUAUCUGUUGAUCAACGAGCUAGUCAACUAGAGGCUCACUAGGGACACGUUGAUGUCUGUUAUUCACACAUGUAUUACGAUUUCCGAAUAACACAAUUAUAGCAUGAAUAAAGACAAUUAUCAUGAACAAGGAAAUAUAAUAAUAAUGCUUUUAUUAUUGCCUCUAGGGCAUAUUUCCAACAGUCUCCCACUUGCACUAGAGUCAAUAAUCUAGUUACAUUGUGAUGAAUCGAACACCCAUGGAAUUCUGGUGUUGAUCAUGUUUUGCUCUAGGGAGAGGUUUAGUCAACGGAUCUGCUAUAUUCAGGUCCGUAUGUACUUUACAAAUCUCUAUGUCUCCAUCUUGAACAUUUUCACGAAUGGAGUUGAAGCGACGCUUGAUGUGCCUUGUCUUCUUGUGAAACCUGGGCUCCUUGGCAAGUGCAAUAGCUCCAGUGUUGUCAUAGAAGAGCUUGAUCGGCCCCGACGCAUUGGGUAUGACUCCUAGGUCGGUGAUGAACUCCUUCACCCAUAUUGCUUCAUGUGCUGCCUCCGAGGCUGCCAUGUACUCCGCUUCACAUGUAGAUCCCGCCACGACGCUCUGCUUGCAACUGCACCAGCUUACUGCCCCACCAUUCAAAAUAUACACGUAUCCGGUUUGUGACUUAGAGUCAUCCAGAUCUGUGUCGAAGCUAGCGUCGACAUAACCUUUUACGACGAGCUCUUCGUCACCUCCAUAAACGAGAAACAUUUCCUUAGUCCUUUUCAGGUACUUCAGGAUAUUCUUGACCGCUGUCCAGUGUUCCUUGCCGGGAUUACUUUGGUACCUUCCUACCAAACUUACGGCAAGGUUUACAUCAGGUCUGGUACACAGCAUGGCAUACAUAAUAGAACCUAUGGCUGAGGCAUAGGGGAUGACACUCAUCUCUUCUAUCUCUGCUGCCGUGGUCGGACAUUGAGCUGAGCUCAAUUUCACACCUUGCAAAACAGGCAAGAACCCUUUCUUGGACUGAUCCAUUUUGAACUUCUUCAAAAUCUUAUCAAGAUAUGUGCUUUGUGAAAGACCUAUGAGGCGUCUUGAUCUAUCCCUAUAGAUCUUGAUGCCUAAUAUAUAAGCAGCUUCUCCAAGGUCCUUCAUUGAAAAACUCUUAUUCAAGUAGGCCUUAAUGCUGUCCAAAAGUUCUAUAUCAUUUCCCAUCAAAAGUAUGUCAUCUACAUAUAGUAUGAGAAAUGCUAUAGAGCUCCCACUCACUUUCUUGUAAACAUAGGCUUCUCCAUAAGUCUGUGUAAACCCAAACGCUUUGAUCAUCUCAUCAAAACGAAUGUUCCAACUCCGAGAUGCUUGCACCAGCCCAUAAAUCGAGCGUUGGAGAUUGCACACCUUGUUAGCAUUUUUAGGAUCGACAAAACCUUCCGGCUGCAUCAUAUACAAUUCUUCCUUAAGGAAACCAUUAAGGAAUGCCGUUUUGACAUCCAUUUGCCAAAUUUCAUAAUCAUAAAAUGCGGCAAUUGCUAACAUGAUUCGGACGGACUUCAGCUUCGCUACCGGUGAGAAAGUCUCAUCGUAGUCAACCCCUUGAACUUGUCGAUAACCCUUAGCGACAAGCCGAGCUUUAUAGAUGGUCACAUUACCAUCCGCGUCUGUCUUCUUCUUAAAGAUCCAUUUCAUUUUCUAUGGCUCUCCGUUCUACGGGCAAGUCAGUCAAAGUCCAUACUUCGUUUUCAUACAUGGAUCCUAUCUCGGAUUUCAUGGCUUCUAGCCAUUUGUCGGAAUCCGGACCCGCCAUCGCUUCUUCAUAGUUCGAAGGUUCACCGUUGUCUAACAACAUGAUUUCCAAGACAGGGUUGCCGUACCACUCUGGUGCGGAACGUGUCCUUGUGGACCUUCGAAUUUCAGUAGGAGUUUGAUCAGAAGUAUCUUGAUCAUUAUCAUUAACUUCCUCUCUAGUCGGUGCAGGCACCUCAGGAACAUUUUCUUGAGUUGCGCCAUUUUCCGGUUCAAGAGGUAAUACUUCAUCAAGCUCUACUUUCCUCCCACUUACUUCUUUCGAGAGAAACUCUUUCUCCAGAAAGGACCCAUUCUUGGCAACAAAGAUCUUGCCUUCGGAUCUGAGGUAGAAGAUAUACCCAACAGUUUCUUUAGGGUAUCCUAUGAAGACACAUUUUUCCGAUUUGGGUUCGAGCUUUUCAGGUUGAAGUUUCCUGACAUAAGCAUCGCAUCCCCAAACUUUUAGAAAUGACAGCUUAGGUUUCUUCCCAAACCAUAAUUCAUAUGGUGUCGUCUCAACGGAUUUCGACGGGGCCCUAUUUAAAGUGAAUGCGGCAGUCUCUAAAGCAUAGCCCCAAAAAGAUAGUGGUAAAUCGGCAAGAGACAUCAUAGAUCGCACCAUAUCUAAUAGAGUGCGAUUACGACGUUCGGACACACCAUUACGCUGAGGUGUUCCAGGCGGCGUGAGUUGUGAAACUAUUCCACAUUUUCUUAAGUGUGUACCAAACUCGUGACUCAAGUAUUCUCCUCCACGAUCUGAUCGUAGAAACUUGAUUUUCCUGUCACGUUGAUUCUCAACUUCACUCUGAAAUUCCUUGAACUUUUCAAAGGUCUCAGACUUGUGUUUCAUUAAGUAGACAUACCCAUAUCUACUCAAGUCAUCAGUGAGGGUGAGAACAUAACGAUAGCCACCGCGAGCCUCAACACUCAUUGGACCGCACACAUCAGUAUGUAUGAUUUCCAAUAAGUUGGUUGCUCUCUCCAUUGUUCCUGAGAAUGGAGUCUUGGUCAUUUUACCCAUGAGGCAUGGUUCGCACGUGUCAAAUGAUUCGUAAUCAAGAGACUCUAAAAGUCCAUCAGCAUGGAGCUUCUUCAUGCGUGGUGUUGUUGGAGCUGCAGUACUCCGGCAGAGCUUCGCUAAGCAAUAAGGAGGUGGAGGAGGUGUUGGGGAGGGAGAAGGAGGCAACCAAAGGCCAAGGACUCAAGGUAUGAAGUCCCUCCUCUCCCCCACUAUAUAUAGGGGUGCCAAGGGGGGGGUGGCCGGCCCUAGGAGAUCCAAUCUCCUAGGGGGUGCGGCGGCCAAGGGGGGUUUCCCUCCCCCCCAAGGCACCUAGGAGGUGCCUUACCCUCCUAGGACUCUUUCCCCCUUAAACCCUAGGCGCAUGGGCCUAUGUGGGGCUGGUGCCCUUGGCCCAAGCAGGCCAAGGCGCACCCCCUACAGCCCAUGUGGCCCCCGGGGAUGGGUGGCCCCACCCGGUGGGCCCCCCGGACCCCUCCUGUGGUCCCGGUACAAUACCGAUAACCCCGAAACUUGUCCCGAUGCCCGAAACAGGACUUCCCAUAUAUAAAUCUUUACCUCCGGACCAUUCCGGAACUCCUCGUGACGUCCGGGAUCUCAUCCGGGACUCCGAACAACAUUCGGGUUACUGCAUAUACAUAUCCCUACAACCCUAGCGUAACUGAACCUUAAGUGUGUAGACCCUACGGGUUCGGGAGACAAGCAGACAUGACCGAGACGACUCUCCGGUCAAUAACCAACAGCGGGAUCUGGAUACCCAUGUUGGCUCCCACAUGCUCCACGAUGAUCUCAUCGGAUGAACCACGAUGUCGAGGAUUCAAUCAACCCCGUACGCUAUUCCCUUUGUCUAUCGAUAUGUUACUUGCCCGAGAUUCGAUCGUCGGUAUCCCAAUACCUCGUUCAAUCUCGUUACCGGCAAGUCACUUUACUCGUACCGUAAUGCAUGAUCCCGUGACCAGACACUUGGUCACUCUGAGAUCAUUAUGAUGAUGCAUUACCGAGUGGGCCCAUUGAUACCUCUCUGUCAUACGGAGUGACAAAUCCCAGUCUUGAUCCAUGUCACCCAACAGACACUUUCGGAGAUACCCGUAGUCUACCUUUAUAGUCACCCAGUUACGUUGUGACGUUUGGCAUACCCAAAGCACUCCUACGGUAUCCGGGAGUUACACGAUCUCAUGGUCUAAGGAAAAGAUACUUUGACAUUGCAAAACUCUAGCAAACGAACUAUACGAUCUUGUGCUAUGUUUAGGAUUGGGUCUCGUCCAUCACAUCAUUCUCCCAAUGAUGUGAUCUCGUUAUCAAUGACAUCCAGUGUCCAUAGUCAGGAAACCAUGACUAUCUGUUGAUCAACGAGCUAGUCAACUAGAGGCUCACUAGGGACAUGUUGGUGUCUGUUAUUCACACAUGCAUUACGAUUUCCAGAUAACACAAUUAUAGCAUGAAUAAAGACAAUUAUCAUGAACAAGGAAAUAUAAUAAUAAUGCUUUUAUUAUUGCCUCUAGGGCAUAUUUCCAACACUAACAACACCCAAUAGCCACUAGCCUAACAAGAGGUCCCCGAACUGAGGAAUAAAGAUACAUACGAGAGGCCAACUUUCCACACUUUUGUUUUAGUUCUUAGUUUAUAGUUUCUAAUAAAGCAUAUCUUUAAAAAAAUUCCAUAGAGUGGGAGGACCGAUGAAAUGGAAAAUAACCACUACAACUCCAACGUGCGAUCACAUUUGGUCUGUCCACGUCCGUUUGGGUCGAAACAGACAGAAAUCACAGUCCAACGCGGCGACCAAACUAACAAGCGUCCAUUUUUCAUCCGCCCGCGACCCAUUUAUGGCCCAAAUUUGGCCAGGGUUUGCGCAGGCGCGGAGGCAUGCGACGUCUGUCCUUGUCCUCUUCCUGGCCCGCCCGUCGGUGGCACGUAUGACAUUCUCCCCUCCCCCUCCAUACCCAACACCAUUCGGCCUCACCGCUGCCACCCACUUCCGGCCGCCGCUCCCAGGCCUCCUCUCACAUCCACCUACUCCCCCACCUCAACGUCGCAUCUGAGGCACAUUCUUGACGCAUUGGUGGCCUCUUCUCGCCGCUGUUGGUGCCAGGGAAGCCAUGGUCGCCAGCACUGACCUCCCCUCCACUUCCACCGGCCUCAGCUCCGCACUCGCCUCCCCUUUGAUAGGUCUGCUGCCUGUACAGUAAAGGCGCGUGGCUUUUCACCGGCGACUACUACAGCACACCUAAAGGUGUUGGGGGCUUUGCCCUCAAGGUACAAUGGCUAGUGGGGAUGAAUUCUUUUUCAACAACUUCAUUUGUGAUUUGGACGAUUUGUCGUUGGAUCAAGAAGAUUUUGUAGUUGCUACUUUGAUCGUCAACGGACACAUUGCUAGGCAGCGACCGAGAUUCAGGGUAUCCAUUUUGGGCCAUGCUCCGACGUUGAAUCAAAAUAGAGAGAUAGUAGACAUUGCCUACUCUUCGCCGACUACUUUCAAUGCACGUCCCCACUCUUCAGUCCUAAGCAUUUCUAGCACCGCUUCCGGAUGGUGACAUGUGUUUAACCGUAUUCGGGAGGGAUGGUGGCGCAUGAUGAUUACUUUAGACGCAAAGAGGAUGCCCUUGGAAUGGUUGGCUUCUCCUCUUAUAUCAGAAUGCACCGCGGUUGUUCGGAUGCUUGCAUAUGGAAUUCACGGUGAUAUUGUUGAUGAGUAUCUCUGCAUAAGCAAGUCCACAUGCCUUGCAUCACUGUACAAGUUCUGCAAGGCUGUGGUAGCAGUGUUUGGCCCGGAGUACUUCAGAGAGCCAAAUGCUAUAGAUACAAGCCAGUUGUUAGGGAUCGGUGUAGAGAGAGGCUUUUCGGGAAUGCUUGGUACCAUAAAUUGUAUGCAUUGGGAGUGGAAGAAUUGUCUGUUUGCUUGACAGGGACAAUAUAAGGGGCACGUGAAAGCUUGCACUUCAUACUUUGAAGUUGUGGCUUCACAAGAUAUCUGAGUUUGGCACUCUUUUUUAGGUAUGAUUGAGUAUCGCAAUGAAAUCAACGUGUUUCAACGCUCUCCGGCAUUUGGAAGGCUUGCAGAAGACAAUUGCCCAGAGGUGAACUUUGAGCUCAAUAAGCACCACUACAACAAAGGAUACUACCUAGUGAAUGAUAUCUAUCUUCAUUGAUCAACUCUUGUGAAGACAAUCUCCAAUCCGAUAGUAGAGAAGAGGUAUAGGUUUGCCUAAGCACAAGAGUUCAUCCAAUUUCAUACAGAAAUACAUGAUUAGGAAACUCACAUCCAACUCCAAAAUGACUUGGUUGAGCACAUGUGGGCUCACCUUGGCAACCAAUAUAUGUAUUGGUUUUUUUCUUUCAAUGUAUUUAUGACAAUUUAAAUUUAGUUGUAAAUUAUGAGUUUUUUAUUUGGUUGUAAAGUAUUUAUUAUUGUCGUGUAAAACUAUGUGAUUUAUUUGGUUGUGCAAUGUUAGUUCAGAUAUAUGCAUGAAAAAAUUGUGCAUAUUUGGCCGCUGGCCGACCGGGCGAAUCAAAUGGGUCGGCGGAUUGAGCGCACUUCCACGAAAACAUAAACCAGGCCGGACGCCGCCUCUUUGACGGACCCAGUGAACAAAAGAGGGACCAAAUUCACAUAAGUUUGAAUUGUCGCGUUGGAGUUAGCCUUAUCUCCCCUUUAUUGACGUGAAGAUGUUUAAUGAUUCACCCAGGCACAUCCUGAUCACACACUUUUUUUGAGCACAUCCUGAGCACACACUUCACCCAGUGCAUCGCGACCACACCUCACCGUCGGCCCAGGCCCAAGCCCAGCCUUUGACAAUCGAUAGGCGGCGGAGGCCGCCAGCAGGCAGGUAGCGGCGUACAUCCACGUCCACGUCGUCAUCCAUCUCUCUCCCUCAACCGUAAUCCCACCUCCCCAACGCCGCGCAUUCAAAUCCUUGAUUUCCCGGCCCCAUCCUCCCGCGUGUGGACCAGGUUUCCUGGCGCGCGAACCGUUGGCCACGAUGGAGCGUCGCGUUAUCGCGAGCCUAUCCGGUGUGGCGCCGGGGGGAUGAGGGCGCCCGGUGCCAGUGGCCGGCAUCCACCGGCCGUGGCGAGCCGCACGCCGCCGCGCGCACCGCACCCGGCCCUGGGGUGUUUGUCCGCACGCACGCGCUCCGCGCACUAUUUGUUGCGCGUAUAAGGAGGGCAGCAGGCACUGCCCAUCUGCACAAUGUCGACCGCCGCGGCUAACUGGUGCUACGCAACCGUAGUCGCGCCCCGUGCCCGCUCCUCCACCAUCGUCGCCAGCCUCGGCACCCCCGCGCCCUCCAACUCCUCCUCCUUCCGCCCCAAGCUCAUCAGGAACACCCCCGUCCAGGCCGCCCCCGUCGCACCCGCAUUGGUACGUACUACGCACGUUCGCAGCUGCAUGCACCAUGCAUAUCGUUUCCUCUAUCCGGCCGGCAGAGCCCUUGUUAAGCUUGGCUAAGUUUGGCACCAUGGCGUGUCCUUUGCUGUUUUGGGAACGACGUACGUGGGUCACUCACGGGUCCCCUUGCUCCACGCCACAUGCCUAGAUCUUCUUCCCACAAUAUGGGAGAACGGCAUGCAAGGUCUAGAGGUAACCAAAAUGCAUGUGAUGGCUCAACCAAAUGCACCUUAUUUUCGACCUCAAAAAACCAAAACGCAUUACUGCUGCACAGUUGACCAGCUCUGCACAUGGGGCUUGCAUGUCGCCAUGAUCCCCUAUACUCUUGCAACCUUUUCUAUUUAUGCGAACGCAAUCAUUGAAUAUUAUAUAUAUGGAUCUAACAGACAAAAGGCAUUGUGUUUUUAGUCCUCUCUGCAUCCACCAUCAACAUGCAUGUCAACAAACUGGAUAGAAUAUAUGUGGGAUGAACAUGAACGGGUUUCCAGAGAGGUGGCCAGCGAUAAUGUUAGUUUAACACAAUAAUGUGCUCUGGGUUGAAAAUAACUCCACAAAGUCUCAAGUGUACAGGACAAAGUUUAUACUAGCGCAUAAACAUGUAGCGGCAGCUUUUCCUUAAAGCAAUAAGGUGGAGUCUAUCGGGCAUUAUUGCUAGGUAAGACUGAAAGGACACCAAUUAAGCUAGGUCUACUCUAUGUUUCUAGCACUCUCUUGGUUCUUGGAGAAAAAUGACCAUACUUUGGCUUUGAUGUUGAGUAGUUUGACUUUGAUCCGCAAAAGCUUGCAGAAAUACUAACGACUAGGUCAUCCACUGCGUCAGCUUCCUAUUCUUUUUUUUUUUUUUGAUAUAAGAAGCUUCCUGUUUUCCUCUUUUUGAGUUUUCAAACACCACCAAGGCAAGUUACUACACUAAAUCCAACUCGAAGGAUAUAAGAAAUCUUCAUUUAUUUCAAUAAAACAAACAGUAAGUGCAGAAAUAUCAAAUAAUCUACAUGAAACACGUUAACUAUGGAGUCGUUAAGGCAGUUGUUACUUUGGCUUAUCUAAGUAAGUAAAGUAAGGUACUCCUAAGCUAGGUCUACUCAAUGUUUCCAUUCUCUUGAUUCUUGGAGAAAGAUGUCCAUCCUUUGUCUUGAUGUUGAGUUGAGUAGUUUGACUUGGGAUAGCAAAAGCUUGCAGAAAUAACGACUAGGUCAUCCACUCCGUCAGCUUCCUAUGUUUCCUCUUUUCGAGUAUUCAAACACCACCUAUGCAAGCUACUACUACACUUAAUCCAACCCGAAUGUUAUAACAAAUCCUCAUAUUUAUAUUAAUAUUUCAUUUGAAGGAAACAAAGAGCCAGUGCAUUACCAAGCUUUUACGUAGGAGAUUGUACAUAAAAACGUGUUAACCAUAUGUAGGAGGAGGCCUGAUAUUUUGUUGGUAUCAACGUCACAACGGUACACGUAGUGAUGUGAUAUCGAUGCAGAGGUUGAAGCUGAUUGCAACCCUCAACCAUGUGUGGUUGUAGUACCAUAUCCAGCUUCUCCAGCUGAGAUGUCAACAAAGAAAGAAUCCUGCAUAUAUGUCGCCCCAAUGUUUUAAUCUUCUCUCGCAAAAAAAUUAAAAAUAAUGUUUUAAUCUUAUUGGCAGUUCAUUCUAAAGAAUGGGCUGAAAUAUUAUUUGGCAUCAUACAUCAUGCUCCAUGCAUGUAAAAAACGAGCAGAAACGCCGUUAAAGAAAAAGAAAGCAAGCAGUUGCCGUUGGACUUGGAUCGGCGACUGCUUUGGGCAGCAGACGCGGGCCGGAAGGAGUCGUGGCGGAGAUUCAGGAGGGCUCGUCGUCGACUGAGGAGGAGGGAGGGAGGGAGGGAGGGAGCAAGGUUCCAAUAAUUCAGGAAGCGGUGGUCUGGGCAGUUGGUACGGGAGGGAUAGAGGCGUCAAUUCAGGGGGCCCCGCAGGUGGAACUCGUGGCCGGGCGGCCCUUCCGCGGCCCCGGCAUCUGGAAUUAGCGUACCCGACGUUGGUUGAGUAGAGAGAGGAGCCCAGCACAUUACUACCAAUUGCCAAUUUUCUUGUUGCCAAUUGUCCUUGGAUCUGGGAGCCGGUGAUUACCCCAGGCCCACCUUCACCCAUGCACCUGACCUGGGCAAGCGCAAGCGCUUCUGGCCUGGGGAUCUGAGAUACUACUGCUGCUCAACUAGGCACUAGGCAGGCAGCACACAAUUGAAGGCAUGUCCAACCUGCAUAUGCUUUGACUUGUGAACUGUGUCCACACCCUAGGCCUAGUGGCAAUUGCAUCACGCGCCAGCUACCGUCUUCCUUGUUUCGUAGUACAGUACUAGCUUUCUCUAGACGCAUUUCCUCGUAUUUAUUUAAUUCCAUGAAUAAUAAGAUUAUAAAGUACUAGUACUCCAAAAGGAUAAAGAUAAGGAUGCCCGGUCACCAUGAAUUCACGGGCUUAAUGAUCUGAUCAAAACAUACCAAAAGAAAGAAAGAGAAAGAGAACCGCUGCCAUUGCGAUGGGCCAUUUGGCCACAAAGCCGGCCAGCCCCUCCUCCUUUGCUGCUAACUUCUUUCGUUGCCUUCUUCUUUCCACGUGCCGUGUUUGCCAGUAAUCCAUCCAUCCAUCCAUCGGGGAGAAGAGAGAAAACCCAAAAGAGUAGAGUCGCGAACGCGAGCGCGAUAGUUGAAGAUGAGCGGCUGCCUGUGCCUCCCCUGCUGCUAUAAGAAGCCCUCCGCCCCCGGUGGGGAGAACACAACUCCCCCAGCAGCAGCGAUAGAUUCUUCCUCCUCGUCACUCCUCCAGAAGCCUACCUACCAUCCACCACCUCCUCCACCCUCCAACAAGGUCCGUCUCCCUCCUCUCCCUUCCUCCCCCUCCCCCACACACCACCCGUAAACUGCUCCAUCCAUCCAUCCAUCUCUUCUUUUUCCGUUUCCUUUUCGGCCGCCCCCCUUUCGAUUCAGUUCACAGCUUGCCCUUUCAGCUUUUCUUUCUUUUUUGUUGCUGUUGUAAAGCAUUUAGUUAUCCUCUUGAAUCGCCUUUGCUUGCGCACGCUCUCCCUUUCCGUGGGCACAGCUCUCUCUCUCUCUCUCUCUCUCUCUCUCGAAAUUCGCAUGAUGCAUAUCGAGUGUUUAUUUGUUUCUUCUUGCUGCGAGUGUGUGGCGACGCGACGGCAACUAAUUUGGUGUUGAUCCUCUCCUCUCCUCCCCUUGCAGAUGGACGCCGCCGUGGAGCGCCUCAAGACCGGGUUCGAGAAGUUCAAGACCGAGGUCUACGAGUAAGUUCACCCCCAAUCCUGUUCCUGUCCUGCCGCUUCGACUGAUGAUGGUUUCUUUGCUUCGAUUUGAGUCUUCUUCUUCUUCUUCUUCUUCUUCUUCUUCUUCUUCUUCUUCUUCUUCUUCUUCUUCUUCAACUGAUUGUCUGUCCGUUUCCGUUUCCGUUUCCUCUUUGCAGCAAGAAGCCCGAUUUCUUCGAGCCCCUCAAGGCCGGCCAGGCGCCCAAGGUAUGUACCGCAUCCAUCAUUUCCUUGAGCCAAUGUUGUCUCUAGCAGCUGGAGUACUCUUGUUAUAUUUGUUCUGUUGUGGUAGCAGAAGAGUGUUUAGUCUUUAGCGCAGCAGCGGAAGAAGUCCUCUGUUCGCAUUAGCCUGCCGUUCGGCGCAUAACCCGGAACACACUCUGUGGGUGCCCAUAGCAUUUCCUGAUGCGGUCAAAGCAGAUGAAACGCUUGUCCUAAUUGCAUGGCCUGGCCGUAAGAGGGGACAGCUUGUCGCCAUUGCCAGCCAGUUGAUACUUGAUACUAGGUUAUGUGUUAACACAACCACUACUGUACUAGCGUACCAAAGAUGGGCGGUAGGCAAUCUCAGGCUGAAACCAGUACAGUUGUGGAUCUCCCUCCGAAUAAACCCCCACCUGUCGUGCACAUCCAGGAAAUCGGAUCGCGCCGCGGUAACGACUCCCAUGUGCACGGCGAUGCCAUGAUAUGAUUUGGCUUAUUGAGAUGUUUUUUUUUUGACCCAAGGCUUAUUGAGAUGUCACCGUCUUUGUGGUCUUGUGGCAUUAGAAUAUGGUUCUUUUUCCCCCUUUUCUGUUGUUGUAGCAGCUAGGAUAAAUUGACGCUCAGAAUCUUGCAAGUACAAGAAGAAGCGUUUUAUUUUCCCUCUCUUCUGGAUUCUCUUCUCCAUUGGCGUGCUUGCCAAUGCAGUCGUUGAGGUUCCCUUGGCUGGCUGUGUUGAAUUUCGAUCCCAGCCGUCUCAGUUGCAGCUAUCCUUUUUUCUUUGAGAAAAAAUGGCCGUCACCCCGCACUAUCGGAGUUGAAGAUGAAGGUCUUUUGAUGAUGUCCAUUUAUAUGGAAGCUUCAUCAUCUUGGCACCGGCCGCGUCGGACCCCACGCGCAAGAACCGUGAGCGGCAAGUCUUGCUCCGUCCUCGCUCGGGGUAUUAUUUAUUGUAAGCAGAGAAGAAGUACUACCUGAGAACAGGGCAUAGCUAGCUGGAGCUGCCAGUGUAUGGCUAUGGCGCUGCCGCUUUGCGUGGUACUCCAUGAUUAAGCAGGCCCUACCCUACCAUGGAGGGGGCUAUCAAUCGGUGGACCACCCAUUACAGUCACAGAUUAAUGCGUGUGUGGACGGAGCCUUACGAAAGAGUUUGGCGCCUACAUACAUAUGUUUGGCCGUAUCCUUUUAGAGAUUGGCAUAUGCUUAUCUUUAUCAGUCAGGUUGGCCUAUGCAAGCACCGAGUGCCUCUCGCAGCAGUACUACCUGACCUGAGAGAUCGGUUAAGGCCCAAAGGCUGCUUUACAGGGAGACGGUAAUACUGUAAUCCACAGCUGAUGAUCCGUGCCACAUCCCACAGCAGUGCUGCUACUGCAGGAAGAAAAGAUCCUACAGUAGUACUUCCGGCGUGUCGCCAUCGGAGGAGCAAGCUGCGGCGCGUGAGCAGUGGGCCUGGCUUCAUUUCUUGCACAAGAAACCGCCGGUGGUCCUGUCUUCUUGAUAACUCACACAAAGGCCUGGCCCAUAAUCAAGUCCUUCGUCGGGUCUGGUCUACUGUCACGCGUCAUAAUCAAGUGUUUAGUCGGUAAUUUGGUUUGGAAAUAGAAGCCUGUGUACUGUCCAGUAGGCGUGCCACGGAGGGAACCUUGCCGCUACUUGCUUGCCUCGCCUUUCUGUCUCCUGUGCCGUACGUCUCCGGUUCCUUCUCGCGAGCCCCUCUGCAUGCCUCCCCUCUGGAUAAAAAGUGGGUAUGCUGGGCCGGAGACAGGUCAAAAGCGGCGGCCUUUAGCGCAAAGCUCUGUGUGUGUGUGUGUGUGUCAGAAGGAAGGAUACGCCUACUCCACCUAUCACUCGUAUUAUCAGCACAUCUGCUUAUAUUUGUUUAUGCGCUGAACAACGCAUCUGCUUAUCACUAACCACUGUGAGUGAAAUGCUCGCUAAUAUAACACCCCACAAAGUGGAUUCAGUGCUUAUUAUGCUUAGUACUACUAGUGGAGCAUCUUUUCUUUUAUUUUCUUUGUUCCUUGAUGAUGAUGAUUGACCUGGUGGUGGUGAUUGGCUGCGCAGUACAUGGUGUUCGCGUGCGCCGACUCCCGUGUGUGCCCCUCGGUCACCCUGGGCCUGGAGCCCGGCGAGGCCUUCACCAUCCGCAACAUCGCCAACAUGGUCCCCUCCUACUGCAAGGUCCCGCCCCGUUUCUCUCUUCCUCUUUUUUUCUUUCUCAUCGCCGAGCUGCAUUUUUGACGAUAUUUCUUUGUCAACUACAGAACAAGUACGCCGGUGUUGGAUCGGCCAUCGAAUACGCCGUCUGUGCUCUCAAGGUCAACUCCCUCCCCCUCUCUCUCUUUCUUUCUCUGGUGCUGUCGCUUCUAAAAUAGGAGUGCCAUAAUGCAUUAUUGCCCUAGUGGACUUUGCUGUCACCCAACUACUAGUAUAAGAACAAGUGAACAUGGGCACUGUCUGUAUUUUAGAGCGUGGCCUGAUAUGGACUUUACUUUCGGCUGCAGGUUGAGGUCAUCGUGGUGAUUGGCCACAGCCGCUGCGGUGGAAUCAAGGCUCUGCUCUCACUCAAGGAUGGCGCAGACGACUCCUUGUAAGUACCACUAGAGUAAAACGGCUCACAUCUUACUCCAGCUAACGCUGCUACCGUCUCUCCGAUCAGUUUCUGACUGUCUAUUUGGUUGGUCUUGGUCAGCCACUUCGUCGAGGACUGGGUCAGGAUCGGCUUCCCGGCCAAGAAGAAGGUGCAGACUGAGUGCGCCUCCAUGCCUUUCGAUGACCAGUGCACCGUCCUCGAAAAGGUUCGCACCAUUGCCCAUCUGCCAUCUCAUACUUUGCUCAUAUAUUACUCCUAUUGGCAGUACUGUAGACUUCGCAAUUCUGCAUGUGGUUUGUCUAACUGAUGAUUGGUACGCUGACCAAGGGAUAUUUCUGAAUUGUUUCCACAGGAGGCAGUGAACGUGUCCCUCCAGAACCUCCUGACCUACCCGUUCGUCAAGGAGGGUGUGUCCAACGGAACCCUCAAGCUGGUCGGCGGUCACUACGACUUCGUCUCCGGCAAGUUCGAGACAUGGGAGCAGUGAAUCUUCCCCAGCGGUUAACUCCUAUAUAUACAUGCGAAUGCAAACGCGUACAUAUAUCAAGAUAUCGUCCGACCGACCGAUGUGAAUCCAAUGCCAUGGAGUGCGUACUCGUUGUUUUCCAGUACUGGAUGCCGGGAUGGCCCGAUGUGAAUUCGCCAUAAGCAAUAGAACCCUUUUUCUUUUACCAUUUUCUGACGAGGAAUUGUACUACCCGUGUGAUGCAUAAUUUGAUCGUCCUGUGAUCAAAAGACAUCAUAUAUAAGUUUAAUAAUAUUUUCAUGAACAGUUUACCCCUUUUAUUACCCUUUGUCCUUGUGGUUUUCCGUCUUGUGUCUGGCACUGCUUAGCUGUUUGCCCAACCCAAGAAACAGUUUGUACUACUGUAUAUCU
This 82300-nucleotide long non-coding RNA is filed under the name Triticum aestivum (bread wheat). Its description in RNAcentral is "long non-coding RNA (TAES_LNC025762)". The stretch from base 58697 to 58783 matches the Rfam family "MIR1120/MIR1122 microRNA precursor family". Lineage: Eukaryota; Viridiplantae; Streptophyta; Magnoliopsida; Poales; Poaceae. The record is from RNAcentral.